RNAcentral lists this long non-coding RNA (50922 nucleotides) under Coffea arabica (coffee). RNAcentral's name for it is "long non-coding RNA (CARA_LNC001654)". The record is from RNAcentral. Lineage: Eukaryota; Viridiplantae; Streptophyta; Magnoliopsida; Gentianales; Rubiaceae.
UGACCAAAAAAACCUUGAGAUUUUAUAAUGAGACGAGCAAAUCUGAUAUCUGGGGAAAAAGAGUGAUAAUGUAAACCUUUUGGAAUACAGAAAUAAGUCAUUUGGUUUAAGAAGUUGUUUUCUAUGCGUAUGUCUAAGGGCAUCUAGAAUCAUGUGAACAUGGUAAAGAGUUACUUUUUGAUGAAACUAUCUUUAUUGUUCCGAAAUUUCUGGUUUUUGAUUGAUCAAUUUACAACUCUGCUGCUUGCGGCCACAUAGCCAUAGUUAAUACAGGGACAUGUGGAUUCAUAUAAGCAUUGAAAUGAAUUAAUCUUAAUGAAACUUCCUUCUUGUCUUAGUGUAUUAUUGUCUAGCCUUUUUCUGAAUUAAUGUGAAAUUUUCAUGUAGGGAAUUUGCAGUCUAUCAUACUAUAUCAAGUUUCUGGUAGUGUUUUUGUAACAGAAAUACACAGAGAGCUUUCUAAACUCAUGAACUUAAUGUUCGCUACCUAAAAUGCAUUCUUGGACAAAGCAUAAGAAAUUAAUGGUGCUGUAGCUGUUUAAAUUUCUGAUCUGUCUCCAUGAAGUUUGUUUAACAAACAACUGUCUUGUUUCUCUUCAGAUAUUUGUUAACAUGCGUUUUUUUUAAUACAUUUUUUAAAAAAAUUUUUGAAGGUCAUCCAUGGAUUUUGUUCUACACUGAAUCCACAAUGAAGACUCAUAAGAUCUUGCCAAGUAGGAAAAAACAGGUUAAUAUGACUUCAAGACAGUUGACUGCUAAUACUGGAGUAGAGUCGGAGAGAAACAGAUCAACAAUUUUAAACUCACUCUAUGAUGACUCUAGACCUACUUUUUCCUCCUAUACUUCAGAAAAGAUGCUUGAAGGUGAAGAUUCUGCUUUGGUUGAUAUUCUUGCUGUGGCAAUCUCCCAUGUAAGGAUAUCAGAGCCAAAGAGAAGCAGGCUUUGGAACCCUGUUAGGCCAAUGCAGGCGGAAUGUUCCUCUAACAUGAAGGCUGGCAGCCUCUGUACUGCAUUUUGAUUGAAUUGCUACCUGCUAAUACCUCAGAAAUCACUUCCAAUGUAAAUAUGACUUGGAUGGAAGACAAACAUCAGGAACCGUACCAGACAGCAGUUUAACAAAGAGCGUGAUGAGCUUGAGCAUGUUGACUUUUUAUACUUAGGGAUGUCCUGAUUGUUAAGCAAAGUUUUUGUUUCCCCUUUUCCGAGGAAUUAUAAGGCUAUCCGGUGUGCCUUGUUCACUUUAUUUCUAACUUGACCUAGUAAAUCUUGCAAGCGGGUCUGUAGAUAUCAUGUAAAUACAGAUUUGCUGCUUCUUGGUUGCUUGUUAUGCUUGUCAUGCAGAUAAUAGCUGUCUACUUGACAUUAUGCUGAAGUAGGAAUCAAGAAGAACAUUUAUUGCUCAGCGUGAAAGUUGGAAGGGCUGUAACCAUAUAAGGAUAACAAUUUGUUGUUUUUGGCUGAAAGUGUCUUUGAAUGUCGAUGACUAGGGUUGAUAACUGUUUGCUGCAGGUCUCAUCCUGAAAGAAAGUUGUCAUUCAUUGUGACUGUAAUUAAAAUGAAUGAAUUGAGGCAUGACGCUUUGGAUGACAAUGAAUUGCCAUCUUUACCAUUACCAGCUCACCGCCUCAGGGUAUGUUUUAAGGAGAAAUCCCAGGGCAUUCUGAAUUAUGCAUGAGCCAGAAUCUAUCUGUGAAACAAAUGAACCAAACUUCCAGUUUCCACUGAAACGAAUCCCAGACCAUGGUAAUGGGGUUAAUUUCAUAUAAAUCAUCUCCUACCGGAGGGUUUCAUAACAUUUGAAUCUCGGGGGUUCCUUCAAAAAAAAAGAAAAAAAAAAUCUCGGGGGUUGAAUGGUGAUCUUGGAUAAGUUCUGCUGCAGAUCCCAUGCACAAGAAGUCAAAAAAAAAAAAAAACCGCAUGGUGAAGAUAGGGAGGAGUACACCAUUUGCCCUCAUGUAGAAGAAGAGUAGAGUUCAAGUUCUGGGCAUUGAAUCUCCGUUAACUUCUUCUGCAUACGAUUAUAAGACCUCCUCCUAUUGCAUUGCAUGAUAUCAACGGUAAAUACUACACCAGCCAUGAUCCGUGUGUAUGUAUGUGCUUUGAAAGUUUUUUUAAGUUUAGCGUUGGGUGUUUUUGCAUGUUUCCGUGUCAGCAGUAGCAAUAUAACAUUCGUCGUUCGCGACCUACUUUGUAAUCACACGGGAUCCUCAGUGCCAUAGAGGAUCCCAACUGAUCGGAAAUUCAGGAUUGAUCACGAAAUUAGCAAUUGGGAUCCUCUAUAUCACUAUUCGGUGUCAAAUCCAGUGCCAAUUCACUUAUCACGUGAUGGUAAAAAAAAUUUAAAUAAAUAGCACAUGACAAAUUAAAUAAACAGAACACUUGGCAUAAAUAUAGAAGUAGCAUUGAAUUGUCACUGGAAAAGUGGCAGUAAGGAUCCCGUGUGGAUAAGCAAGGCUUUAAUCCUCCUCUACUACUACUAUUUUGAAUUUUUCAUUUUAUUCUAGUGCAUAAGAUAGGGAUAAUUUUAGAAGCCUCCCCUGAAAAUUUUAACAAUUACAAUCACCUCCUCUGAGGUUUGAAAACUUACAAAAUCCUUCUCUAUAAAUAGGGAUGGCAACGGGGCGGGGUUGGGGUUGGGGACCCCUCCCCCAUCCCUCGGCCCGCUGCCUACAAACUCCCCAAGCCCCCGCCCCAUCCCCCGUCCCCCGCUCCCCCCGCCUCGUCCCCGUCCCGCCCCGCUUCCCUCGCGGGUGCUCUCGCGGGGCUAAUAAAAAUUUGUUAUAUAAUUUUAUUAUGGUUAAAUUUUAGCAAAUAAUCAAGUAUUAAAAUAUCAACACAUCAUCAAAUUAUUAUUUAUUGUAAUUUUACAAUUGAAACUUAUAAAAACAAUCAAACAAAAUUAUUUGAAUACAAUCCAACAUGAUGAAAUAAAUAUAACUAAUGUAGUCAAGUUUUCACUCUUGGCACAAAUACAAUCAUUAAUUCAUUAUUGUGCUUGUGCUUUUUUUAAGAAAAAAAUGUUAAUGUAUUAAGUGUAAUUAGGGAUUUAGUAUAAAUGUAUUAGUAAAUUUAGUAUAACCAAUUAAUAAUUUGUAUUAGUACACAUAUAUAAUUAUUAGUAUAAUUAAUAAUAUCAAUUAUAUUAUAUAUACUAAUAAAUAUCAUAUAAUACAUAUAACUAAUAAUAUCAUUAUCAUAAGUUUGUAACUAAUUAAAUUAUAUAUUAUAUAUAUAAUUAUAUACAUAUAUAUAUUUUAUAUAUUUAUUUUUUUAAAGCGGGUGGCGGGGCGGGGGAUGGGACGGGGGUACACUCCCCCGCCCCCCGCCCCGUUUCAAAGCGGGGGGUAAAAAAUUCCUCCCGCCCCAACCCCCUCCCCAUUAGCCCCCCGCGGGGCGGGUGCCUGCGGUUACCCGCCCUCAUUGCCAUCCCUAUCUAUAAAACAUGUAUUGGUAACGAUUGAUGAUAUACGCAAAAAAAAAAAAAAAAUCUAACGAAUAUUCAAUAUUACUCCUCUCUAAUAUGUAAAACAAAUUAAAUGCUAAAAAGUCAACUAUAAUCAUUAUCUGUUAGGUGAAAAUUUCAAGUUAAUUUUUUUGUAAUAAAUUUAAGCCAUGUUUUGAAAGCAUUCUUUUUUUAUACUUUGGACAUUUUUUUUUGGUUAAGUAAUUUUUUGCAGAUACUUAUUUUAAUAGAUGCCUCUCUAAUUAGUUGGUCGACUUUUUGUAAAUUGAUUAAUAAGUUUAGUCAAAAAAAUUAGGAAUGAAGUAUGGCGUCUUAGAUCAUAUGACAUUAGAGUUUUAGGAUAAAGAAGUAUAUAUCAAAAAAGAAUUUCCUUUUUUCUUUUUUAAACUCAUUUUCACUUAAAUUUUGUAAAAGUUUAUGAGGGUUAUCAUAGUUUUUCAUAGCAUCAAGGGAGGUAAGUAUAAUUUUUCAAACUUUAGAAGCGGUACCCACAAUUAUCCAAAACAUCAAGGCCAGUUUAUGAAAUUAUCCCACUAAAGACUUAUUUGAGGUCAAGUAGUUUAUUGCAAAAUACUUUUCCAAUAGAGUUUUUAAUAAAAGUACUGUUAACUAUUGAAGUGCUUUUCAAUAUAUUAUUUGGAGACAUAGUUCAAUAAAUAAUUAUUGUAUUAGAUAAUAUGUAAUUUGAUUUUCAAAAGUGAUUAUCUCUUUAUUUGGUUCAUAAUAAAGGAUAAAAGGAUUAAAUUUAAUAUUUUAUUUUUAAAUCACAAAAGCUACUCUAAAAGCAUCAAAUUUGAACCUUUGCUAAAAGUGCUUUUAACACUAAGAGCUCUAUUUCUAAUUUUAUGGGAUAAUGUUGAUCAAACACUUUAGAAAUACUUUUAGCAUAUAAAAUUAUUUUUUUUAUCGAAGGCACCGUAACCCCAAAUGGAGCUUAAGAUAUCUUUGACUGAAAAGUAUAAACAAACUUCCUCGAUUUGACAGCAUAUGCAGAAAUAUCUAUAUGCAUUUGCACACGAUCCCCUGCCCACUCUCGCUUUGUGCCAGUUUAAGCACCCUUUUUUCUUUCUUUUUUUUUGGCUUUGCUUCUAUAAUUUAUUUUAGUGAGUUAAUCAUAUAAUCACAGUAUAAUACAAUUAGUAUAUAUGCUCUCAGGUGAUGAACGACCUUAGAACCAAGCAUUCUAGUAAUGUGUUGAACUUAUUUUCACUUCAUUUGAAACCAAGAAACGCUAAACGCCGUGUUUUCAGUUGAAAGAUGUUGAUAAAUAGAGCGGCAAAUUCUUGUAUUUCCGCAAAAGGGAGUGUCUACCAAAAGGUUGAUUGAAUUAUGUUUUGCUUUCAACCUCAACUGUUAGAAAAUUGGAGCGUUUUUUACACAAAGUUGUCUUCUUUUUCUUUUUUAAACAGGAUGAUUUCUUUUCGGAUGACAUAUCGAUUAAGCUACAGUUAGAAACAGAAAAAAGCCUAUGUGAUAUUUAUGCGCCUAAUUCUUCGUUCAACAAUUGAUCAUAUCAAAUUUCUCCAGAAAUAAUUUGACGCCACCUUAUUGGCCAAAGAUUCAUUUGGGGAAGUAGGAUGUGGAUCUCAGAAAAAUGUCAAACUCUUAUUAAAUUUACGAUGUUUUUUUUACAUAUUUUCGUGGGUGGAAAAAAAAAAAAAAGGCAAACACUGCAAUACAUUCUUUUACCAAAAAAUUCCAGAAAAUAGCAAUACGAGCUCUUACAAUAAUUGCAUCCUUCUCUCCAAAAGGAGGUUCUAAGAAAGAAGGGGCGAAGAACCCUAAGGAAAUCUCUCCCUGCUUUUUGUUUUGUUGCUUUCUAGCUAUAUUAGUUUAGCUUACACUUUUUAAGCUUCAUUUCCUAUUUCAUCAUCUCAAACAAUCCUUAUUAGACUUUUCUUUCUUUCCACUUUCUUACUUCUCUCUCCGAUCCCUUUUAGAUUUUGGUAAUAAUCUCUGUCCAUUUCUUCAAGACUGAAAGUUUUGCGUCAUUUUGGCAACUUUAGAGAAACCAUACGAUUCCCCUUCUUAGGAGGACCAUUCUCUACUCAAAAAGCUUCUGAACUUUAGUUCCCAACAUCCUGCUGAUCAUCAGGACCGCAUCAAACCUGCACCAUAUAUCCUCAACAUCUCAAUCUGCUGCUUCAAAUUAAAUUCCACCUCUGCCAAAUCUUAUUAAGAUUUAAGAUCACCAACCCCAUGGCUAAGGGAGUAACCUCAGAACCAGAAAGAAUCGCCAGCUCCAACCUAAACAACAAACCUCGUUACUCAAAGCAACAUACCCCAAGUAGUAGCAGUAAAAUCUCACAAUUUCUUCACUACUCACCAAAGCUCUCUAUUUACCUCCUAGUCACCUUCACCUUCCUCCUCAUUCUCUUCCAAAUCCAAUCCUUGCAGAUCCCAUCGCAGCCCCCGACUACAAACUCCUGGACAUUCAUGCGCAGAUGGCAAAAUGUAAUCAACAACACAAACUUAUCAACUUUAGCCAAGCAAUACUGCGCCCAAGAUCUCGAAUCCACGGCCUCGAAGCUUCGUGACGCGGUCACUUUCCUCCCGCUAAAGGACUUGCGUUACACGAGCUCGGCCCAGCAAGGCCACACGUGGUUCAUGAGCUCCAUGUACGAUACACACGAGGAAGGUGAAGUCCAGUACCAACAAUUCCCAUCAGAGGCAUCAAAAGGAAGACUUUUAUGCCUCAAAGGUCGAGAUACACAUGAGGGUGCAUGGAAUUCCUAUGCGCUUGCAUGGCCUGAUACUCUACCCCACAAUGCCACCCUCCUGAAAGGGGUCACCUUCGUCUCGUACAACCACUACAACUACGACAACAUUUGGCACGGCCUCUCGGCCAUGGUGCCAUUCGUAGCGUGGCAUAUCAAGAACGGUUGUGCAGCGCCGACGCGGUGGGUUUUGUACCACUGGGGUGAGCUGAGGAUGAAAAUGGGGCCCUGGUUGAGGGCUUUAAUGGAAGCUACGUUCGGCGAACCGCUUUAUAUUGAAGGGUUUACUCAUGAUCAGGAGGUAGGAGGGCCUGAUGAUCAUGGUAAUAAUGAUGACGAUGAUGAUGAAAAUCCAUUUUGUUUUGAGGAAGCGGUGGUGAUGAGACACAAUGAAGGUGGGAUGUCGAGGCAGAGGAGAAUUGAGGUGUAUGAUCUGCUGAGGUGCAAGGCUAGGAUUUACUGCAACGUGAGCAUAGAGGGGAGGAAUGCCGAGGUUGAUGAAAAGGCGGGUGUACCGGUGAUUGGAAUGACUAUGUUCAUGAGGACUGGAGCUAGAUCAUUCAGGAAUCCUUCUGCUGUUAUUGCCAUCUUUGAGAAGGAAUGCAACAAGGUUGAGGCCUGCCGAUUCAGGGUUGCUUAUUCCAAUAAUCUCACAUUCUGUGAGCAGGUCGGUCUAUGUAUGCAUUCUUAGUUUAAAUUUUGCGUUAAAUUCUAUUCUUUUGUUGCGAGCAAGGUGUUAGCGUCGUUCAUUUUGCAUUUUUAUGUAUCUAAGGCUACAAUUUUGAUCCCCAUUCAUUUUAACUUGGCAAUCUGAAAAAGAAAAUAAAUGGUUCAUCCUUGUCAUUUUUCAUGGAGCUGCAUGCAAUUUUUGGGAAGUUAAUACUUGUUUGAUGCUAGUAGUCUACGGAAUAAUGCGAACCUGCCGAAUCCAACAUAAUGCUUACUAUAGUGUAGUGGAGUAACGGUGGAAAAUAAUUAGGUGAAGGUGGGACUAUGUGGGCAUCUUGGUACGCGGUUCGACUUUCUUUCCUUGGCAUGCGUUGGUUUUUCCAGUCAUUAUCCAUAUUUAAAAAGAAAAAAAAAAGGAAUCUCUUUCAAUGGAAUAUAUUUGAUUGCCUUGGCUGAAAGUAGUCCCAAUUGGAAUAAAUGGAUCACCUCUUGUUUACCAAAAUUCAGCUGUCCACGUCCUUUUCUUGGUAUAAUUGCAUGCGUAAUUGACAAUCAAAGUAUUCAUGUAUACAUGCAUGGUCAACCCUGCUGUAAAUUGCUGGUAAUAUCUUCAUUUUCCAAUGCAGAGUAAUACUAAAGAACUCCCAUUUGAUUAGUUUUCAAGUUACUCCCCCUCACAUGCGGUUGGCUACCCCAUCCGAAAGCAAAGGAAAUGUAGAAAUAAGUGAUCCCUUUACCAAAUUAUUAAUUUUGGUAGACGAAGCCAGACUUCAAUUUUGUAAUUUCUCAUGACAUGAUCAGUAUUGAUGAUGAUACUUGUAAUUAAAGCCAAUUUCUAAAAUUUUUUUCCUUCUUUGUUCAGGUGAAACUGAUGAGUUCAACAGACAUUUUAAUCUCUCCACAUGGGGCACAAUUAACGAACAUGUUCUUGAUGGAUAGAAACAGCAGCGUCUUGGAAUUCUUCCCCAAAGGAUGGCUAAAACUUGCUGGAGUAGGGCAAUACGUCUACCACUGGAUUGCUAGCUGGUCAGGGAUGAAGCACCAGGGCGCAUGGCGAGACCCUGAUGGCGAAAAAUGUCCCUAUCCCGAAGAUGACAGGCGCUGCAUGUCCAUCUUUAAGAGUGGCCUAAUCGGCCAUAACCAGACCUACUUUUCCGAAUGGGCUAGAAAUGUUCUCGACGAUGUCAAGAUGAGGAAGAUGGAGGAAUUAGCCUGCCUCAUGAAUGAAGAAAAACAGCACCAACACCAAAACUGCUAUUGUUAGUGGAUGUGCCCUUUGCAAUUAUGAAUUAACCAGCUGAACUCUUCUUUUAAUUUAGCUUAUGAUCUCAUGUACUGGUUUUAAUUCAACAAAUUUCCCGGCUUACCAUCAUAGGAGUGCUUGCUCCCUUUCCCCUUGUCCCGUAAACUUUUCAGGUACAUUACUUUCUCAUGAAAUUCAAUACUUUACAUGACAAGAAACAUAAGCUUCUAGAUUGCACUAUUUAUAUAUUAUAGUUUAUCUCUCAAAAAUUUUUGAUUAUAAUAUUAUUGUUCCUUAUCGUUACUUCUUAGUCAUAUUACAGGUUCGACUGUUGGAAUUACUAUUAAUUAGACGACCUUCGUUAUCCUAUGGAGACUCAAUAAUACUUGUUUGGGGGAAAAAAAUUUGGAUUGCCCUUGAAUUUUUAUAGGGGCAACUUUUAGCCCCUCAACUAUUAAAUGAACACUUUUAGCCCUUGAAUUUACAGAAGGGUCAAUUGUUGACCCUUUUUGUCAAUUUAGCUCUGGUUUUGCAACCUGCAAGGCCAUCGCGUGAGACGCAAUCCUCAAAUUUGAAGGGUCUUUUUGUUCGCACAAAAAUUAGAAAUCGAACAAAAACCUCAAAGACCUGAAUCUAGCCCUUAUUCUUCACCUCAUCGUUCUCAUUUGAAGCAAGAAGGAAACGGAUUUGCGAUCGAACAUGGCUAGGUGGACAAAUUGGUAGUGGUGACAGUUCCGAUUCAAAAUGGCUAGGCAGACAAUUUUUUUCUUUUUUUUUUCUAUCUUCUUCUUGUUCUGUCAGAUGGAGAACGAAAUAUACAAAGGCGACAUCGUGUAAGCCCAUUUUUGUUUGAGUUCUUUCUAUGAACAUUUUUUUUUUUUUGUUGUGUGGUUGCAUCAUGAGAGGCCUAACGACAUGAUCUAUAUCUAGAACAAGAUGAGGCCCAGCUACUAACUCAAGGUUGUCUAAAGCUUAUUUCAAGCGUACGCAUGUGGAACUUGUUGCUAUUAACUUGGUGCUCUGAGGUGCCCCAAGCACUGACAGAAACUGGAGUUCUCUGUUGCCCUACAGGGCCUACACCAGUACACCCUCUGCGAAUCAAACAAAAAAGAAAAGACAAGAAAAAAAAUAAUGCCCCAGCAUAUAAUUAAAGUGGAAAAAGAGAAAAAGAAUGCCCAAUCCAUGCUUUGUGAUUCUGUCUGUUUUUACGUUUUUUGACUCGUCCAAACUGAGAAGUAGGGCAUGCAGAAUUGAGAAACCAACCAGACAUCUGUACAUUGAUCCGUGUAAUGGCAAACAUAUGUGUAGACCUUUAUAGGUAGUGCUGUGAAGAAAAGCUAUAUGCUAAUUGGGCCAACUAGACAAGAGGUCUUCUGUUGCUGCGACUGACUAUAUUGAUGGAUAAUUUAUAAGAACUCAUGUAAAUUUAUGAUUACAAAAGUAUGUCUUGAUUUGUAGUUAUCUAUAUGCUAAUUGGGCUAAUUAGACAAAAGAUCUUUUGCUUCUGCUGAGACGGUAUUGAUAGAAGAUUUAUAAGAAUUCCUGUAAAUUCAUGAUUUUGCAGGCUAUAUUCUAAGUCAUACUAGUUACUGUGGAGUAUUUCGAAGAUAUGUCCUAAUUCAUUCAUGGUGAUUACUGUCCUAAAUUGAGGUGUAAAUGCUAAUCGAGCCCAACUGGACAAAAGGUCUUUUGCUGCAACGGCAUUGAUGGACGAUCUCUGUGUUUUUAUAAUUUCAGAGAUAUGUUCUAAUCUGGUGUUGGUGACAGAUGAACUUGUUUCUACGAACAACAUCAUCCAAUCUCGGCUCAAUAUCCUCACACUGCACAGUGCUUUCAUCGUUAUCAUUUGGCAUCCAAUUGGGAUGAUGUUACUGUCCUAGAUUAUACCACCGUCUAUGAAGUAGCGAUUGAGACAGUUUUACAUAUAUAUACAUUUGUAACGUUUAUAGUACCAUUGAACCCCAAAGUAAAAAUAGUACUACUAGUUUCAGGCUUUGUACAAUGAUUAGAGUUGGUCUCGGAACAAGGCCUAUUGAUUAAUAAUGCAAGCAACUCUUGCUGCCCAAGCCAAACGUCGGCGGAGCUUGCACCAGAGCUUCUCCCUACUGAAAAAUCAAAAUCAAUGACGAAAUGAACUAGCACUUACUAACAAACUAAUGUCCAGUAGUAGCUACCAAGUCCUUGUGGAAUUCCACACGUAACAUGGAGGUCCUCAGUGGGCAUGGAAAAAAGGCAAAGAAACACUACCGAUUGUACACUCGAAUAUGAUAUGAACUACACUGCUGAGUUUUGUAAAACCACUUGACAAGAAUUGAAACAAAAGUAACGAAAAGGGUUUACCCAAAAACACUCCACAAGUUGUUCUUCCCAAUUACUAGAAGAAUAGUAAAAGUAAACAAAUCAUUUGAAAAGCUUUGUGUAAGCCUUUGCCGUUCUCAUCUCUGAGCCACAAAAAUCUUUUCUUUGAAUGUUUGGUAACUGUUUAUUGAUGGAUGUCAAAUCACAAUUAGUAGUUGCUUUGUCGAUCUCUCUUUCAUUUAUUUCGGUUUUGUCGAUCACAAUUAGUUUUGGAAUUUCUAGACUUCAGUUUAGAAAAGGUCAAGAGGCAUUCAAGCCACAAUUUCCUUUCCCAAUCUAAUCAACCUUUUCCUGAAACUGUCUUGUGUUUGGGAAACUUCUUCUUUUUUCUUUUUUUUUUUCUCCUCCUUCAUUUUCCUUCUUGGAUAUUUGCUGAAGAUAUAGUAGUUUCACAUCAGAGACAAAUUUUCAUCCAUUUCUUAAUCUUAAUUAAUGUAUGUUGCUUCGAUCCCUGCCCAUGAUGGCUCGCUCUUCGUUCGCUUAUUAAGUAAAGUAAUAAUUCCUUUUUUUCAUCCCAGAAACAUCAAAGGUGGAAAACAAAUAUCAAAUACGGAAUUGAUCGAAAUUAAAAUCUUGUCAACUAGAAUUAUCGUUAGGUCCCACAAACAAGCCUUAUCCCUAAUUCACCACCAAUAUUGUCCGGUUGGAGGCAUACGUUAUUGUAGGUUCUGCGCUUUGCCACUCUCGCUUUCCUCCGGUUGUUAUGAUAAAAAAACUAAUAAAUUUUAGCAGCAAUCAGAACAUAGGAACGAACAGAGCCUUGAAUUUAACUACACUUCAUGAUACGAAUAUUUAUCAUAAUUCCAAAAAUUCAUCACCAUACAAAGUUUACUAAGAUGGUGAAUGUCAAUACAUUUAAAAUUCUCUCUCUUUUGGUUAAAAAAAAUUUAAGUGGUUUCGACUCUAAUCAUCACCAGGGAUCAGAAUGUGCCCUCAAAAUCAUAAAUCACUUGCACAGAAAUUUUAUAAAUCACAUGCAUUUAACUGCAACACAAAUUUUUGAAUAUUCAUCAUCAUUUGUGGACAUAAAUGACCUAAUAUUCACUAGCCCACUAUUUUUGUACACCUUAAAAUGGGGCAAGUUGAGAAUGUCAAUCAGCCCCUUUAUUCUGAAUUCUUUCAAAUCUCCCCAAAUAAGAUUCGAACCUACGACCAAUCGGUUAACAGCCCAUCGCUCUACCACUAAACUACUAAGCAACAAUGGGAGAUUAGAUUUCAUAGAGUUCAAUUCCUGUUCUCAACCCAUGACCAAUAUGAGUAAGAAGCUUUCUUUGUAACCCCCAAAACUUCUUCGUAAUGGCUCCUUUCCAUGCCUCAUUUCAGACAAAAACUCAAAGUGGCUCUAUUUCAUUUUAUUCCAUCCAUACCCAAUUCCAUUCAUUUAAUAUCCCUUUGGUGUCAUUGACAUAACAGAUGUCGUUUCUAGUUUAAAUUUCUUUUCUAUAUAUGGACAAUUAAAAAAUCAUCAUCUAAUAAUCCAAAAAUUGCAAUAGAAAAGAAAUAAGGGAGGUUUGUGAUGAUUUUUCAAUCUUUUUCACUAGGUAAUCUAGUAUUCUUAUGCAUGAAAAUAAUCAACUCGGUCAAUUAUGUACAUUCAAUCUCGAAGAGAUUCUUCCUAGACCUCCAUGACACGCAUGGUGUCUGACAUAAUUUUUUUCAAUGUAUAUGUGAAAGUUACAAAUCUAUUAGAAAAAGUUUUGAUCGGAGGAAAAGCUAUGUAGGAAAGUGAAGUAAAGAAAAGUGAAAAUCAAUUUUUUUGUAUGUUUAUUUGACGAAAAAUACUUUGAGAGGACGUGAUUAGUUAGUAAUAGUUUCUAAAAAUAUUUGAACGUGUUUGGAUAAUGAAUGAUUAUUUGAAAUAAUUUUUUCAAAAAAAUAUUAUAACACUUUUUUACGUGAUAUAUGUAAAAUAAAAAAAAUAAUUAAAAAAAUGUGUUCAUGAUUUUGCAUGAUACAAAACAUAAGAAAGCACAAACAGAGAAGGUAGAAAAGUGGAAGAAAUGGCAGGAAAAUUUUGCGGCUAUCUUGAUAUAAACACACACACACACACAGUGAGAAAAAAAAAUUAGCUAAUAAUAUUUCGCUUAAUUUGUUUGGAUAGUGAACUUAUCCCAAAUAAUAUUUCGCUUGCAUCAUAAACACAUUUUCCAACCCACUUUUUUAUAUUUCCAACUACUUUUUGUCUCACAUACAUCACAUCACAAAAAGUACUACAGUAAUUAUUCCAAAUAAUAUUUCAAAUAAUACCCUAUCCAAACAAUAUAAUCCUACACUUUUCCAUACUUCUGCUCACACACAAACGGUAGCUUAAAGAAUCAAGUCAUGAACAGAAAUUUAUACCAUUUGUGCACAGUCACCACUUUUAUCACAUAGAGAAGCGCCCAUCAGGGCAAAAUCAGUUAAAACGAGAAGUCAAGAGAGGAUUAUCCUAUAUAAAGUCUCCUUUUUCUGAUCCCAUUCCAUGAACAGACAACAAAAAUCCCCUAAUGUAUGGGAUGGGGACAAUUCCUUGACGAGAAGAAUGCAGGUUAGUGGCAGGACAGAGAUAUUAGGCGGCUUUUGAUUAGAGUAUUGAGAGGGGUGAUGGUCAUUAAUGCAAAGGGAUGGUGCUGGAUAGGGCUCAUCAAUUCUGACAGUGGCCGAUAAAUGUGUUGAAGACCCCAUUGGCGGGGACUUGCAUAAGUUCAAUCUUUUCCACAGCGUCCGUCACCGCAAGCCAACUUGUGCAACUCAGGGACCCAUUCACCAGCUUUCUCGAUGGUACAACCAUAAUUCCAGAUGCUGUAAUACCAUCAAAUCAGCUCAAGGCGCAUUGGAAAUGCACUGCACCCCAGGACAAAUGUUUGAAAUGAUUGAAGCACCCAUUAAUGUCUGAUCUGGAAAUUAUGGACCAACUAAUAUAUAAUUCUUCUCCAAUUACCUUAGCAUGUCAGCGGAGGAAUUCUUGUGGCACAAAAUUGCCAAGUAGUGCUGUCAAAGAUGCUUCACUUGACUUCCUGUUAAAAACUUUUUAACUUUUGGGAACGGGACAGUUCAAAUGUCUGGGAAUGGUUCUGUGUAGGGGUGUGCAAAAUCGAAAAAUUCCGAUUUAUCGACUGAAUUCGAAUUGAAUUCGGAAUUUUCGAAAUUGGUAAAUCGGAAAUCGGAAUCGAAUUCGGAUUAUCCGAAUUCAUAUAUUUCGAAUUUGGUUCGAAUUCGGUAAUGGAGUUUUUCAAAUCGGAAUUUCCGAUUUCGAAUUCACAAUUCGAAAUCGGAAUUCGAAUUCCGAUUUCGAUUUCAAAUUCGUUUUUAAUAUAUAAAUAUAUUUUUUAUACAUGUAAUAUAAAAUUUAUACUAUAUAAUAUUAUAUAAAAUUUAUAUAAUAUAAUAUAAUAUAAUAUAAAAUUUAUAAAAUUUAUAUAUUAUUAUAUAUUAUUAUAAAUUUUAUAUUAUAUAAUAAUAUAUAAAUUUUUCCGAAUUCGGUGAAAUCGGUGAAAUCGGAAUUUACCGAAUUCCGAAUUGAAUUCGGUACGAAUUCGAAUUCGGAAUUGGUGAAUUCGAAAUCGAAUUCGGUCGAAUUACCAGGUACCAAAAUUUCGAAAAAUUCCGAAUUCAAACUUCCGAAUUACCGAAUUCGAUGCACACCCCUAGUUCUGUGUAUUGAAAAUAAUGUAAAUCUUUUGUUUAAUACUAUUAUAAAAAAUCUUUUGUUCAACUAUGCAAACUAAUUUGAAUACAAUACAAGCAUAGAACAAUUUUUGGUGGACACCACAAGAUCGAGGCAUUUCCAUUUUUUUUUUUUGGAUAAUCAUAGAAUUGCUACUUACGUUCAUUCCUGUUCUUCUCCCCUAAUUUUUGAUAGAUACUAAAAGCUAAUGAACUGUACCAUUUGUGUUAAAACAGAUUGCAGAGGCUUAUAUAAUUGCAGAUUGGAUCAUAUGGUGUAGUUAACAGCGGCAGUGUGAAGUUUCAUCAUCGUUUUUCCUAACUUCAUUAUUGUAUUUUCUUUCUUUUUUCGUUUGGAAUACUUGUAUCCUGUGAAUAGGGGUCUCUAGGGUUUUAUUUUACAGUUUUUGACAAUAUGAUUAACACAAUUGUAUUGGGUCUAUAUAUAGUUGUUCUUGAGUGUUUUCAUUCUGGAUUGAAUUUUGAUUUUCCUUAGGGUUGAUCAUAAAUCACCCUUGAUUCUUUAUUAUUAUGGAAUUAGUUCAUGAAACUGGUUCUCUUAAAUUGCUUCUGCCGUCGCAUCAGUUGACAUCCUCGUGCAGUACAUAUCUUGUGUAAUGUUUCACCAUAAUUUGGAUCAUCACAAAGAAUGGAAUAGAUGUGUCAGGAGAGUGGCUCAUGAUCGCGUUCUUAUUCAAUGUGGUUCACAUCAAGUCGUCAUUUUCUUUUCGGAUGAUGAGACUAGACGAAUUUUGCCACGAUUAACCCUAACCCUAGGGAUCUGUGUAUAUAGUUCAUUAUAAUCUUUUUGUGAAGAGAAAAUGAGACUUGUUUUGAUAGUGCAAAUUGCUGAAGUUGUUGAAUUUUGGAAUUUUCAAGGAUGUGAAAUUCUAUUCAUAAUUGGAUACAAAGGGUUCCAUCACAAGUAUCGACUCUAAAAAUUAUAUGAAAAAGUUGCUGGUGUAUUUUCACUUUUGAAUAUUGCGUUCUUCAUUAUGAACUUGGGGUUGAGUUCUUUUGAGAUGGAGAGAUUGAUUGUAGAAGCCCUCUGCUUUAUCCUCAAAAACUGCAAGAGAGCAGCUAGCCUUUCCACCUUGUUGCAUUCUGCCAAAUUCUUUUGCUUUGCAAGUACUCCUUUUUAGCCUUAUCCACCCGGCUGUCACUGCUGAAUCUUCCAAAGGUGAAAGACAAUAACCGCUGCUAUAUAUUUCGUCAUCCUAUUUGGUGACUCUCUAUUUCUCCUGCGUUGGUGCAACUUAACACUAAUAACUCUCCAUUAGUCAAAAAAAAUCCAGACAUCAAAAUGAUCAAAACUUCAUCAAUCUGACCAUAGAUAGAUGCGCCUUGCUAAUCUUCAGAUCGUAAUAAUUGGCAUGAAAAUGAAAGCUUGCUAACGUAUUAUCAGUUUGAAUAGUACGGCCUAUUGCUCAUCAAAUUAUUAUACCCCACACUUCCCGAAGAAACAAAAAGAAUAAAUGGAGCUUUCGAACGUAAAAACAGGGAAGGCUGACUCGAGAAUUAAAAAAGAGUUUGCUUAAAGACUUGUUAUUUCUUUGAGAUAUUUUUUGGGUUACGUAGAUAUAUUUACCCUGAGGUCGAAGGUGGUCCGGUCCAUUUAGUUGCAUUACAUCCAAAUUCCAAAUUUCAUCAAGAUGCAAAAUUCCCUAUCAUACUUGCUAAUCAGAAGAAUAGUUCGAUGCUGAAAGAAAAUCCCUGCACAGUCCUGAAUGUUUGUAAAAGGGGCGAUUAAAGAACUCUUGAAACAGUAGCUCAAAAAAUGUUAAAAAAUCAGUGAGAGCACACAACCUCAAAGUCUCCCACUCUGGCUACUUGGAGAAAGUAUAUCCAUAUAUUAGAGAUCAAAUCAAGAAAUCAAGUGCUCCAAAAACAUUAGUUGUCAGCCCAUCGCAACCCAGCCUGUAGGACUCAUUUGGAAAUCAGUGAAGAAGCCGACAAUUGGAGAUAGUUCCAAGCAUCCCCAUGUGGGAUACCUUUUUUGGCUCAUUGAUGCAGCUUCUCUAGCUACUUGUUCUGUUUUGUUGUUCAUCUCACUUUCUCUGCUCUUCAUCUGAAGUAAGGCACUUAACUCUAAAAUUCAAUCUGAAGUUUCUGAGCUUCUUCAACUCACCAUGUGGGACGCGGAAAGCGAGACCGGAGGAGGGCGAGAUUACAGCAAUGGAGUUCUCAGCAUAAGCAAGCAUGGACUUAAAACCGAUGGUUUUGAGCAAAGAGGCCAGUCUUGGUAUGUUUCUCUGAGAUUUGUUCAGCAUUGCUUGGAUCUUUAUUUUUGCAUUUUCAUCUUCAAGUUAAUCAUCCUGUGAAACCCUCGAGUGAGUGAGUAUCUUUAGGAGAAGAUGCAUAAAUUGAAAGCGUAAACUUUCUGUGGUGAAGCUCGUAUCUCUUUCUUGGAAUAUCAUUGAUGUUAAAGCAAGUUACUUAUAAUGUUUGGUGUGCUUGUCCUGUAAAUAGGUAUGUUGCAACUGAUAUCCCAAGUGACUUUUUAGUUCAAAUUGGAGAUGUUAAUUUCCAUUUACAUAAGGUAGCUGCCAUCCUAUUCUAACAUUUUUCUCAUUUCUCAACUUGUGUACAUAGAAUUACUAAUAACGGUUGUAAAAGGGUUGGGGUUAGAUGAUAUACUAAUUCUUUCUCUCGUCUCUCAAGUAUCCUCUGCUUUCUAGAAGUGGCAAGUUGAACAGAAUCAUAUAUGAAUCACGGGAAGACCUGAACAAGAUAGUUUUAGAUGACCUCCCAGGUGGACCUGAGGCUUUUGAGCUUGCAGCAAAAUUUUGCUAUGGGAUUGCUGUUGAUCUGACAGCAAACAAUAUCUCUGGCCUUAGAUGUGCAGCAGAGUACCUGGAAAUGACAGAGGACUUAGAAGAAGGCAAUCUAAUAUUCAAGACAGAAGCUUUUCUCAGCUACGUGGUUUUGUCAUCAUGGAGAGAUUCUAUACUAGUACUUAAAAAUAGUGAGAAGCUGUCGCCAUGGGCAGAGAACCUUCAAAUUGUCAGAAGAUGCAGCGAGUCCAUUGCUUGGAAAGCUUGUGCUAAUCCAAAAGGAAUAAGAUGGCAAUAUACAGGGAGGCCCCCAAAAGUAUCUAGCCCUAGUUGGAAUGAAAUGAAGGAUUCCAGUCCAAGCAGAAACCAACAAGUGCCACCUGAUUGGUGGUUUGAAGAUGUUUCGAUUCUCAGGAUUGAUCACUUUGUACGUGUUAUUACUGCUAUUAAGGUAAAGGGGAUGAGACAUGAACUAAUUGGAGCUGCAAUAAUGCAUUACGCAGCUAAAUGGCUUCCAGGACUAAUAACGGAGGGAUCAGCAGCAGCUGAUGAGGGAAGCAAUUACAGCCACGCUAAUGACAUAAACAGAAGUUGGAAAGGGGGGCUCCAUAUGAUUGUAGCUGGGACAAAAGAAGAUAUACCAACUGUUCAGGCUAAGGAUCAAAGAAUGAUUAUUGAGAGCCUUAUUAGCUUAAUACCUCCCCAGAAGGACAGUGUUUCCUGUAGCUUCCUUCUUCGACUGUUGAGAAUGGCAAACUUGUUGAAAGUAGCUGCUGCUCUGGUUACUGAAUUGGAAAAGAGGGUAGGCAUGCAGUUUGAACAGGCUACAUUGGCAGAUCUUCUCAUUCCUUCAUACAACAAGAGUGAAACUUUAUACGAUGUUGAUCUAGUUCAAAGACUACUGGAGCAUUUCCUUGUCCAAGAGCAGACAGAAAGUUCAAGUCCUAGCAGACAAUCAUUUGCUGAAGCACCCCAAAGGGGUACAAAUCCAAAUGCUAAGAUGAGAGUGGCAAGGCUGGUUGACAGUUAUCUAACAGAGGUGUCCAGAGAUAGAAAUCUCUCCCUAACGAAAUUUCAGGUCUUGGCAGAAGCUCUACCUGAUUCAGCAAGAACCUGUGAUGAUGGACUAUAUAGAGCUGUUGAUUCCUACCUGAAGGUAAUUGAAAUUUAAUUUCCGCGAUUUUCUAAAGUAACUAUAUUAUUCAUUGAUUUUCUGUGAGGAGAUCUGUUCAUCACCAAUAUAUGGUGUUAAAACAGGUUGGUCCUCGAGCUGACGAGCUCCUCAAAAUAAAAUAUUUGUGUGCAAUGCGCAAGCAAAUAUGGUCUUUUUAUAAAGCAUGCAUCCGUUAAGAAUUAUGUUAAAUGGAUAAGUAUAGAAGGAAGACAGGGCCAGAGAAUAGUUGCAAAAUCUUUAAAUUCUAAGUUAAAACAAACGUCAAUAUUUAUCAUGCAUUGUGAAGAUCAAAGAGAAGAAUUUCAGAUGAAAAAAUUUACAACUUACAACACAAAAUUAGAAGUUAUGAACGAGUCACUAUGUGCCUUCAUAAUAAUGCUCAAUAUGCCGUUUACAUAUAUUUGUUUCAAAUAUUGCAUAUAAUGAAGCUCAUCCAAAUAGUUAGUUUACUUGGAAUCUAACGCAUUGAAGCAUUGAUAGGCCCAUCCAACACUAUCAGAGCAUGAAAGGAAGAGGCUUUGCCGUGUAAUGGAUUGCCAGAAGCUCUCAAUUGAUGCAUGCAUGCAUGCUGCUCAGAAUGAACGGCUUCCUCUAAGAGUAGUAGUGCAAGUUCUCUUCUCUGAACAGGUGAAGAUAAGCAAUGCAAUAGCUAGUAGCUCCCUCAAGGAAGCUGGAGAAUCCCACUACCAGCCAAUGGUGUCAACCCGUAAGACAUUGCUUGAAGGGACGCCACAGUCAUUUCAAGAAGGAUGGGCAACUGCCAAGAAGGACAUCAACACUCUCAAGUUUGAGCUUGAAACAGUCAAGGCUAAGUACUUGGAACUCCAAAACGACUUUGAAACCUUACAGAGACAGUUCGAUAAGAUGGCUAAGCCAAAGCAAACUUUCGCAUGGACCUCAGGGUGGAAAAAGCUAGGCAAGCUCACCAAGAUGUCAAAUUUGGAAAACCAUGAUGAUGGACCCCAGAUUUCGAAUCCAGAACAACCUAAAAAGGCACCUAGAAGGUGGAGAAAUUCCGUUUCUUGAGAACUAAGGAAGUGAAGAAGUAAGAUAUUUCCUGAUAAACUUGAUCCCCCUAUAUUUCAUUUUUGUAUUCCUAUAGCUGUAGUCGUCUUUCUUUUUUUUCCUCUUAUUAGGAGUACUCCAAAGGUUCCCUUCUUCUUCACAGGAAUUAUCUUAGGAACUUUCACAUUUGAUCCUUCUGUCUUUGGGUGAGUGGUUGUGGUGCAAUUGCCAUGUUUGUUUGAGUGUGUUCUGCAUUAUGAUUUAGUUGCACGAGUGGAACAUCUUUAUCAUUUUUCCCGCAAAAGCACAUUACAUGUUUUCAAUGAAUCGACUUUGGAUGUAUCAAGAAAAAGUUCAGGCUGAAAAGGUCUUGAAAAUUCUCAGGUUCAAUUUGUAUCUUUCAUUCCAUUGAUGUGGAGCAUAUAAGCAAUUGGGCAAGCAUACACUGGGACCUGGAUGGAUUGGAAAAAGGAUUAUCAGGGGCAUUAUCUCUCUCUCUCUCUCUCUCCAUGUAGGUUGUCAUAGUUGUUGUCCAGUUUUUCCAUAAGACCAAGUAUUCGAUCUUGCACACAAAAUUGCAGAGAAGGAACAAUUCAUCAGCUUAGUGUUUUGUUUCUUCCUACCCUUCCUGAAUAUCAAUGGAACACUAAUUGUAUAUCAUGAGAAUAGUUCAAAGCCAGACAAAGUUGUUAGGGUAUCAUACAGUAUCCAAGAAACUAAUAUAUUGGAGACAGUCCUACCGUAAUGCCGAAGUCAGCACGCAGAAUAUCAAUUACCAUUCACUAAAUUAAGCAUGGACAUAUCCAUAUGAAUGGAUCUUACGCUUACAGAUACUUGUUACUUUGACUUUUAAUACGAAUCAGCACAUGCCUUGGCACUAAGAAUUUGCUGAAGACACAAAAUCCUGUAUAGUAAACCAAACAAUACGAGAAAGAUAAAUGAGUUAUCUGGCUGAGUAAUCAAUCUGAAAUUUGUAAAUAUUCCUCCGGUUUUCUUUUUCAUAAAUCAGCAAGCAUUGAAUAUCCCAACUCAAGUGAAGAGACCAAAGGACAAGACGAGUAGAACCAAUCAAACUACCUUAUAGACAACUUCGACCCUCGUUUUCUUUGGGGGUUUUUGGUAGCUCCUUUGGGCCCCAACGGCUAUCCAUUUGGAUGCUGUUCUCUGGCUUUUAGCCGGGCCGAAUCUGCAUUGGAAGCACAGCGAUCAACUAAUCAUGUGCGUGGACAAUUAUGGAAAACCCAAAAAAGUGAAUAAAAUCACUUCUUCUUUUUUUGGCCCCUUCACCCUUGUGGAGAUACUACUGUAAAGUUGGUAAAAUGCAAAUACUCUAAUUAAAAGGUAGAAGUAACAAUUGACAAAAGAAUGCUUCUUUACCAUGCUUGGCUGGCUACCUCAUUAGGUUGGUAGUAGCACGGCCGUGCUCUAACUCUAUAGAACGGUAAGUACAAUUCUUUGCAGCGAGAACUGAAAAAGAGAAAGAACGGCCGUGCUCUUCUCUUCUCUUCUCUUGAUGGGCUUCGACUCUGAUUUCCCCACAACCCUCCUUCGUAGGGAAAAUUUUCGACUACGAAUUCCUUAUAAACCGUUGGAUUUCCCUUUUCCUUCUCAAGGUUCAACUCUCUCAUUUUGACAACUAUUUGUACCCUCCCCUACAUACACACACUCGCAAGUCUUCUCUCUUCAAUGGAAAUCACGCAGUCCAGAAAAAUGUCGUCCAACUCCUCCCACAGCAGCAAGGGUCCUUUGAUUUGGUUAUCCUCUCUAAUGUAGCAAUCAAAUCAAAUACAGCACAGUUUAGCAGUGGGUUAAUGUUGGAAAUAUCAAUUUAAGUUGAAUUAUAGCAUAGCAAGACCGAAAAGCACUGCUGUCAAAGGGGAAAAAUAAUAAUAACAAACAACAGGCAGCGGCCAAAAGUCAUAAUCCAAACAGAUAGGCAGUACAUAACCAGGAUUACAUUGCAAUAUCCACCCAAAACAAUUGUUGUACUCGACCAAACAUACAAAUAAAAUCCUGCAUUAAAGAUUGAUGCCCACGUGCUCAUGAAGACGGCCUACAGGAGACUCUUCUUUGCAGCAAAGCACAAAUCCUCUGCACAGCUCACUAAAGAAACAUACUAGCACUAGCCUUUUAAGACAAGAUUUGGUCAUGGAUGAGCAUCAGACAUUCAUGAUGAAUCUUCCGGGCCCCCCUUUCUACUCUCAGCUCUCUUCAUUGCUGCUUCAGCCCAACAUCUUAGCUGCUUCUUUGAAAGCCACAUAAGGGGAAAAAAAUAACAAAGCUUAGAAUCAAGAAAACAAGAUGGAGGUGAAGAGUGGAAGGUGGGACCCAAAUUAGCAAAUGCGCGUGCACUUAAUCCAUUGUGUUUUCAACAUGUUGGCAAAAGAGGUCCUCAUUUACAGCACAGCCCACCUCUCUGCCUAGACCAUGCGUUCAAAAUUCUGGCUAUUUUCAAUCCCGAAAGCAUAUGAACAAUCAUUUCUACCCGGCAAUUAUAGCCCCAGUUUUCUUCACCUCCUGUAAGCAAAGAUAAAAUUUUCACACCUCAUUAAGCUUUUCCUCUAUUGGCUUUUAAAGCAAACUGCACUAUAGCUUUAACAAGAUCACAAAAGCUUCACACAGCAAAAACCACCUAUCCAUCACUUUCAGUCAAAAAAGACAAGAUCAACUUAUCCCUUGAUCGUACUGCCUCAGUAAAAAAGCACCCGAAAUGUACUACUGUUGACGGGAGCACUGCACUUCAGGGAGGCCAAGCUCCAAAGCUUCAGCUUUCUCCCUCAAUGAUAUCAAGUAAUUUAUUGCAUCAUCAAUGAUCAAGAUUGGAUCUUUAUUCUCUGCUCCAGGAACUAUACUUUCAAGAAUUCUCAACGUCUUGCAAAUUUUGGCCCGCUUUUGCGUUGUGUUGAUAUUGGAGUCCAUCUCCUCAUUGAGGUCCCCACCUUUGGCACAAUUUGUCUCCACAUGGUUAUCAUCAUUGCAAAAUUUAGCCAAUUUCAAUGGAUCUGCAGUGUCCACUAACGAUGAUUUCUUGUAACCACCAUCAAGCAAUUUAUGCCUUUUAGUUGAACCAUCAGUGCUACCAACUUCCUCAGUAAGUUCCCAAACCUUCUCAUGCAUCUCGAUGCCACCUAUGAUUGUAAAAGGUGAAUGCCCGGUGCUAGUCAGGUCAUCAUCUUCACCAUCAACAUCAUCAUCAUUCCCAGGGAAGCUAUCAGAGUAGAGCAACGCAUUGAUUUCUUCUGUGUCCUCACGCAUGUCACCUCCUUCACUCUUUACAUGGUGCUCAGUAUGCGGAGGAGGCUUCAUUAUCUGUGAUUGUCCUGCUUCACCUUGCAAAUCGUGAAAAUCAACUGGUGUCAUGGGCAUGAUAAUCUGAUCUUGGUAAGGUGAACGAAAAGAUCUCGAGAUCAAUCUAACUUGAUCCCCAGAUUGAUCAAAAAUGAGAAACUUCUUAUGAGCGGAUGCAGAUACAUCCUUGAAUGUAGGUUCGACACCAUGUCCAUGACCAAAAGCACGUUGAGAUUCUUCAAAAUGUGGAGCUGCUGUGGGAGACGAGCUCUCCUUUUGAGGAGGCAACCAUUGGAAAGGUCCCCGACCUCCAUCAAGUUGGCCCGUUUUAAAAUGAAGAAGCCCAAAAGCUGAAGUCCCUGUAUCUGGAACUGCAGUACUGUCAUUUGAGCGAGGAGAAUUCCACAGAUAAUGGUGCUGAGAAUGCUGAAAAUCGUAGGCUGUAAACAUCCAGCUAAUUCAAUAAUCUGAGACAUAAAAUUGCCAGAUUUUAGAAAAUUCCAAGCAAUAAAUGGCAAUGGAGAUGAACAGCAGCAAGAUGUCAAAAACCAUACCAGAAAACUGAUUGUAAUGAAUCUUCAACGUCCACACUUUUAGAAACCAAAAUAAUGAAUCAAAAUAUUCAAACUCCAGCCUCACGUACUAUUGAAAAAGUAAUAUCAAUCUACGUAACUGGUUUAAGCAAGUGACGGAAGUACUCAGCCUACAGAAAUCCAAAAGGAAACAAGUAGGAUUUAGUAACUUCUCCAUCAUUAUCAAGUACAGAGAAAAACCUGCCACAUUAAGAAAACACAAAUCCAAAGAGAAAACAUAAAGGGUAAAGAGACUACAACUUGAAAAGCGUUAGCAAGCACCCUAACACAAUCUUGAACCAACCUGACAAUUUUGCAAAGGUUGAAAGCAUGCUAUCACCCUAACUACAAUGGUUGGUGUCCCUGCUAUGCCAUUUUCAUGUUUUAAAGCCCGGAAUCUUGUCUGGCUUGCUGCUUGGCACACCAUAACUUCUUUUGCACCUUGAAUCAGUUUCAAAAUCUACACAAGACUACGACAAUAGAAAUAGAAAUCUAGAACAAAAGAUAGGACCAAAGCAAAAAGAAAAGAUAAGAAAACGAGGAGUGUACCAAAUCUGAAGGAACUACAAGAUGUACUGGCAAGAGACGAGGUGUCAGAGGAAUGAACUUAAAACUGCUUAAGACCAUAAAUAAUUCUCAGCUGAUCAUAUAGAUAUAACAAGCAAUGAAAGAGAAGUGAUUGGACCCCAUUGAAAUCUUGUUAAACGAGAUCAAAAGAAUCAAGAGGUAAUUAUGGUUUAAUAAAGACAACUGGGAUCAUUUACAGAAUAACCCUACAACACAAAUUCAAGGAGAUAACUUGACGAAACACAUCAAUGGACAAACUAAUCCACCGCAUAUUGUUCACUUAUAGGUGAGAUCAAUAUAGCCUCAGCAGUAGUGCGACAUGCCCGUUACCUGCAAUAUAUAAAUGAUCAACAAACAUAAGAACAGCAGUAUUCAAGUAGAGUGGGAUAAACAUAAUGGAUUCUUAUGAUCCUCAGACUAGUACGCAUGCCUUUCACAUAUAAGCAAGAAAGAACAUUAACUAAUAUGGCAUUGGAAGUUGAAUUUCCCUAUUUAUGUGCAUGAAAAUGAAGUAUAACGCUGAAGAAUUAGAAAAACUAGGAAAAGGAAAGGGAACAAGAAAAAGAAAAAGAAAAAAGAAAUUUAGCCUACAUGGCACUAUUUAAUUUCUUUAUUUCCAUGAAACAGCUCAAAGAACUCAGGUAAGUAACAGUGAACUUAGUAAUCGAGGAAAGAAACAUAACCCAUGAAAUCAUUGAACUUUCAAUUCAUAAUUAAUCGUAGGACAUAAGGAGAAAAGAUCGACCAGAGACACUUCGAUAAAAGAAAAAAAAUAAAAAUCCCAUCUUUAUUGUUAAGCCUACAAGCAUUUCACUCAUGUACUAAGAAAAGCUGGCUAAGCAAACGUACUUCGGACUUAUGGACAAGAAUUACUUUUUUUCGGACAAAAGACCCAAAAAAAUAAAUAAAAAGACGAGGACUUUAUGAAUUGACCGAUCAAGAAUUCAGGAUACUGAUCAAGAAUUCAGGAUUUAAGGAUUAAACAAGACAAAAAUGAACCGGUGGAAAAUCCGACCAGUAAAAAAGGUUAAUACAGUUGGAAAAAGGACUUACACAAGGAAAGAUCCAAAAGAACAAAUGGAUCGUGCCCGCCAGAUAGAGAGCGCUUGAGUGGAGAGAAAGAACAUGAAGUGAACAGUUGAGCGGAACGCCGGAGAAAAUUUGUCUGAGUGGGGGAAGAACGGGGGAACUGGAAUAUAUAGUGAUAGUGCAUAAGAAAUUUUAGGACGGUUUUACCCCUUUCCUGCUUCUACUUUGUCUCAUCUAUUGGCACUUGUCGUUCAUUGGAAGUUUUUAGCUGCUUAAUUCAAUUGUUUAGGCGCACGCUUAUUAAGUGUGUUUUUAACUUUUUAUACGUUAUGUAAUUUUGAAUUUUUGCAACAUAUUCGUUUAAAAUCUAUGAUAAAAUGGUUAAGUUAAUUUUCUUAUUUUUAAAACAUCAAAGUUACUAAUUUUGAGUUUGUACUAAAGGUGUUUUACAAAGGCUCUGUUUGUUUUGAGGGAAUAAAAGUGAAAGGAAAGGAAAAGAAAUAGAGAAAUAAGAUUUGUCAUGUUUGGAGUAGUAUUUGAGGAGGGAAGGGAAAGAAUAAGGAGGACAAGAGAGGGGUAAGAACUUGUUAAUCUUUAUUUGAUUGGCUUUCGAUCUAGAAGUAAGCAAAAUUGGAAAGAAAGGAAACCAACAAAAAGAUUAAUAAAACAUUUAAAAUUCUCUUUAGAUAAAAACCUGCCUUUUACAGAUUUGGCUUUGAAAUGGAUAAAAGCAUAACUACAACCUAAUGGUUUCCUUUUCCUUCUCUAAUCCAAACAGCAUUCAAGAUUGAUGGAAUGAAAGACUUUACUCCCUUACUCAAUUUAACAAAUGAUAGUUAGUCAUCAAACACUAGUUGUAACCUAAUAAAUAAGUUGAAAGCCGAGGAGUAGACUCAUCUUUGUACACGGGUAACACUUGCAGGUAUGAUUGUUAACGUUUGGAAUCCAACCAAAUGUAAAGCCAUUUAUGUUUUGUUGCUUUAAAUGAGCUGCAACUUCAAAUGAAUACGGAUUGCGGGGCAAAAAGUACCGAAAUUUCCCUGAAAAUGGAGAUGCUUCUAGCUGAAAAUAUGAAAUAAUCAGUGGUUUGGUUCAAAUUGUUGCACACCACAUGACAUGCAUCAAAAUCUGAUUUUCAUAAUUUUCGUCGAUCAUGUCAAAAUGUUGAGGUAUUUUGACCAAUCAUGGAAGAUUGUUCCUUUUACCCACUUUUACCCACUACCACAGAUGAUUUAGAUCCGAGCUCACAGCUGGAAAACAAAAGUCGUAUGAAAACGUUGUAGUACUACUAUAAAGCGAUUAGGAAACCAUAAUAUCCAUUUUUAAUCUGAGAGAGAGAGAGAGAGAGAGAGAGGGAGGAGAGGAGGCUGCAAUUUCGGCACCAGUUACAGAGUAACACCCACUGCUAAAGCAUUCUACAUCGGGCGGCAGGCUGAAGAGCUCGAAGCCUUUUUAUUCAGAUAAAAAUACAAACUAUAAUUAACUAACACCCACUGCUGAAGGACUCUACAUCAGAUGUCUACCAUCGGCCACCCGCAGCAUCAGAGCCACUAAUUACUGAACACCCAAUACUUCAAUCUCGAAAACCAGAACAGAGUUAGGCUCAAUGCCCCAUGCUGGGAAACCACUAGGACCAUAACCAUAGUCGGGGGAACACUGCAUAAAUUUGGAACAAUUUAUGCAAGGAAAAAACAGUCACCAUACUGCAUUGAAAUUCAGACUGGGUAAAACAAUUUAAAAUGGUUUUAAGAGAAAAUGUUUGGUUAACAAAUGCCUAGUGAACACUCGUUAAAUAGGAGAUCUUAGGUGCUACUUUUGUUGCAAAACCGUAGUUAAUUUGGAGACAGGGAGAUAGAUUAUGGAAUGUUAGAAGCCUAUAGAUCCUAAGGCACUCAUCCAAAACCAACAAUAAAUGGACAAAUUUACUUAUUUUGUCCAAAGCAAAUUUAUUGGCUCAAACCCACAAAGAUAGCAGUACCACAGCCUCUUCUGUUAUUCGUUCCCAAGAUACCUACCGUUCUCAACACUUCCAUGAUCAGCCUUUCUAAUGGCUCUAUUAGCUCAAAAUUAUGAGCAGAAGAUAUUAGCAAUGGUGCAUCUGGUAGUCAGCUUGGAGGCUACAAAACCGUCUUUUAAAAGGUUUCUCCUUUUUCUCUAUUCUUGUCUUACUAUAAUAUCCCAGAUAUUCAGCUUUGCUCUACCAGACACACAUCAUAACAUCCUCAUUCAUAGCUGCUUUUUUUUUUUACAAGGUGUUCUUAGCAAAUGACAUUUAUUUACUAGUAAAAAGCUAAGCAAGAAACAACUCAGGUCUAUGAUUUUACCGUUAAGCGCGCAACUUCUCCCACUUGCAUUCCAAGUACACCUUCAUCCCAUCCUGCAUAGGAGAGAACAAGCAAGGCAACUAAGGAAAAAGCUAAAAUUCUUGGAUGAAGCAAUUCAAUACAUUGUGCCUAAGAUAGAUGACAUCAACUCUUCUGUCAUAUAGGACAACCAACAUUACUUGGAAUAAUCAGAAGAUUGCCGCAACAUGGAAUGAAUUUAUCAUUCCAAAUUGGUGUGUCAGAGCAAUCUUUCAGCCAGGCAAGGAAGAAACACUAAAAUCUGUUUGGGUGACAAAGCUAAUCUCAACAUAAAGAACUCCCCAUCCCCAGCCUAGAAAACUGAUAGAUUUUAUGAGAAAAGGCACUACAAUCCCGCUCCCCAAUAAAAAGAAGAGAAAAGAAAAAGGACAAUAAUUCAAGAAAAAUAUCCUUAAGAAUGAUAGUUACACUGUAAGGGAUUCGAAUUCACAUCCCUUUUGGAAUUUCGGUCAAUUCAAAUGUUCGCUGGGUUUUAUUAGAGAUUUAAAGCUUCCAUCUUUACCAUUAAAACCAGUCCCUGUGGCUCCGCACAUUUUCCUAACCUCUACACUCUAACAUCAGCUAAGUCAUCUAAUCUGCCUAUCCAGUCCUCACCAAUAUUCAGCAGAAUAUCUUAAAUAUUCCUCCUUUUUUAUCAAAAAUUUAGUAAAACAAUUUUUAUAAGCUACUCCACAAUGGUAACACAGACAAUGGGAUAUCAUUACAAAGGAAAUUUCUUUCUGAGACAAGAAUUAACAGACGGGGCACAAUAAUGAUUAAUAUUACCUCUGAUAACUUUCCCCUGGCCAAUCUGGAAAGCAAACGGCUGCUGCCCUGGAUCCUUGGUGCUAUAAUUAACAAGGAUUUCAGAUCACAAGCAAGUAAUGCUGAAAAUAAUUGUACUAAAAAAAAAUCACAAAUUUUUAAAAUAAUUUUUUACAUGCGUCAUUACCUCCAGAAUUUUUUAGACAAAUCACGGUUCUUUCCUGCAAAUACACAACAUAUUCUUAUUAUUAGGAAAAUUAAAAGUAUUCUUCGGUAAUCAUAUGAAACAGACUGCCACUAAUAAUUUAACGGCGUGAAAGGCAAAGGUGCAAAUGGGAGAGAGGGAGGGGGUUUGGAAAUGGAGGGCACUUACCGAAACCGGUACAGUGGACGGCGACGGUCUGACCGGGAACGGGUUUGGGUCCCCCUCCGGGCCUUACGACUUGCUUCUCCACUCCCAUUCUUUCACGGCUGAGCGCUGAACUGUGAAUUACUUAGUAGUGAAUUUGCCUGCUGUUGCUUUUUGGAUAUUUGCUUUGGUUCCGGUUAUUAAAUACUGAAUAUGGCUGCGUUUGCUAUUGGGUAUUUGUGUUGGCUCACGUUGUUAGGAUACACGUGCGACUUUCUGCUUCUAGAAUACUGUAGAGUUUUUUUUUUUUGAUAAUAGAAUAAUGUAGAGUUAUGUCAGCCCUGUUAAGAUGCGAUUGGAUGAUGUGUGAGUCUCUCCCUCAACCUUAACCUUACAGUUUCCUUCAAAAAAAAAAAACCCUAACCUUACUUACUGCAAAAUUUUGGUAAUUGGGGCCUCAACAAACAAAGGGCUCCAAACAACUGUUUCUCCAUUAGCCCGCCAACCUGCAGUUCUUCGGGCUCGACAAUUGUUCAAGUCUGGUUCCUCCCGUUACAGAUGAUCACUGGAAGCAGUGGGCUUGUUCAAGUCUGGUUCCAAAAUCUUGGUAACUGAGUGCUUCGUUUGUGAUAAGUGUACCUCAGAGCAAGAAUUGGUUCGAAGUGAUAAAGUUGUCCUUUUAUCAGGUGAUAUGUAAGAUCUAAUCUUAUCAUACUACUUCAAAAUAAACCGUCUUGUGACUCUAAAGAGAGAUUUUAUUACGGUCCAAUAAAUUAACAUUGCAAGCCAGCAGUUUAGUCUUUGACUAAUAUGAAACCGUCAAUUUGAACAAAUAACCACCCCACAACCUUUGUUAAAUGUAUGCAUGUAUGUUUACUAGACAGUCAAGAUAACUCUAAAUAAGUUUUCACGGUCUUGUUUGGAGUAUUUUCAUUAAAAAAAAAAAAAAAGAAAUCUAACCCGAGGACUGGCUAACUAUUAGACAUGCCACGAACUUAUUGCACGCUAAAAUAAAUUUUCUACUUGUUGGGUUGCCAUUACCUUACCCUUGGGCCUAGGAAUAAAGAAAAAAUAGUUUGAAUGGAUGAAGUGUUUUUUAAGACGAUUUUUCACAAAUUACACUGUAUCAUUGUAUCCGUAGAUAUAUUUUUGAAUGUUUUUAAAAUUUAAAAUUCUAUUAGAAUAUUUUUAAAAGUUCGUUGAUUUUCGAUACCAAAACUAUCCCUUCCUCUACCCUCCUCUAUCAGCACCAUCACUCCUCUCUUCUCCCUUCAUCCUCCUACUUUCUCCUCUUCACUCUUCCUUCUCACCCCUCUUCCCUUCUUCCCUUCCCUCCCUUCCCCAUUCUUUUUUAUCCCCCUCCCUUCAUCUCAUUCCUUCUCCUUCCCUUCUCUCUCUCCUUUUUACUUCUCCGUAGCUCUCUUCCCAUCCCUUCCACCCUCUUUUUUAACCCCCUCUCUUUAUCUCAUUUCUCUGCCUUCCUUUCUUUCUCUCCUCCUUCCUUCACCGGCAGCGCUCAUCCCAUCCCUUCCCCUUUCUCUUGCAACCCCUCUCCCCUUUCUUCAUCCCCUCCUCUCUUCGCUCCUCCCUUUCCCCCAAUUCUCCUCCCCCCUUCCUCCUUUUCUCGUAGACCCUCAAGUGAGAGAAGGAGAGGGGGAAAGGGAAGGAGGUUGCAGGAGAAGGAAAAGGAUGGAAUGAUAAGGAAAAGGAGAAGGAAUAAGGCAGAAAAAGAAGAAGGGAGGUCCUAGAGGAAGAGGAAGAGGGAGGAAAAAGCAGGGAGGUAGAGGAAGAAGAAGGAAAAAAUAGAGAAAAAGGAGAAGGGAAGAGGGAGGAGCAAGGGACAGUGAUGGCGGUGGAGGAAAGAGGAGGGGAUGGGUGGUGGGUGGAAGAAAAAAGAGGUGAUAGAAUUUAUUUUAGUAUUUUUUAUUUCUUGUGUGUUUUUGUCAAGUGUAUUGAAAUUGUAUAUGAAGUAUUAUUGAGAUACCUUUUUUGGAGUGUGUAAAUAUAGCAUUACAUUUGGAAAGUAGGAUUUUUUUUUGGAGUGUGUUAAUGUAGUGUUGAAUUUUUAGUGUGUGUUAAUGUAGCAUUAUAUUUGAAAAAUAAUUUUUUUGGAAGUUUGUUGACGCAGCUUUGUAUUUGAAAUUUUUUUUUUGGAAGUUUGUUAAUGUAGCAUUGUAUUUGAAAAAUAGAUUUAAAUUUAACAAUAAUGCUAUACUAAGUUAAACAUAACACUGGAUUCCAAAUCGAUUAGUAUGGACCUAGGAUUAACUUUAUAUGUGAAGAAGAGGAAAAAUAAGAGGCGACUAUAAAGUUUCUUUAUCUUUAUCACUUAAUUCUUUUAGUCGUAUUUUGUAUUUUGUUUAGGUGAUUAUAAGAGCACAGGGAGACAAUGCCAAGAUAUCACCUGUUCCAAUAAGGAUUCGGGUUAGUUUAUUACCACAAAAGUCUUAACUUGCUUGGUAAAAAAAAAAAUAUAAUAAGGCAUCUUCGAAGUAACAAUACGUACCGUCAUAAACAUUAAAAGCGUAAAAUGUACUCGCCAAAAGGUAUGCUGGUAGGGCAUUUUGACCACAUGAAAUGAAGACGAUGGAAUAGAGCAAAGCAAAGUAAGAAGACAAUGGAGUAGAGCAACGGAAAGCGUGAUUACCCCCAGGAAAACUGUACAGGACUAACGCAAAUCUUUAUGCACGCAAACUGCUGAACCUUAAGAAAUACAGGAGCAUCCUGGUAUGGGCAUGACUUUUAAGCUCAGAGAAGCUUGGCCUUUAGAUUCCGGCUAUGAGUAGAUGCCUCGCUCAAACGCGUGAAGUAGAUGUGACACAGAAGCAGCGCCUUCAAAUUCCUAACUCAAAGGCGUUUCCUGUACUUCACUCAAAGGAGUAGGGUAUUGAAUCACCUGACAAACUCUCUCCUUCACUUUCAUGUAAUCUAGCUACUCAUUUUUCUUCAAUAUACACAUUAAUAUAUAACUUCAAGGAUACUUAAACUUCAUAUCAUUACUUUCAAGCUCUUUUGUUUGUUUUGCUUCUUUUUAUCUGAUUUAUCUUUGCUUCCGCCCUUUUCUUUUCUUUUCAUUUCUUCCCCUACACUUUCCUCUAAUUCCUGCACCAUCUUCGUAUCCUCAACUUUCCUUGCGACUUCUGUUACUAUAAAGACGUAUAGCGGAUUCUCAUUCUAACCCACGAUCCUCAUUCUUACACAGUACACACGAUUUAAGGAUUCUCCAAAUUUUCAUUUGGAGAAAGUAAUUUUCAUUUGGAGAGAGUUACAUUGCAAUAGCUAGUGCGUAUAACUUUUUCAAAUUGACAUCUAAUAGAAUUGAAGGAUAAAUAACCAACUCUUCGGUCUUCAAUACUCAUUCUGAAACAUAGUUAGCACCUUGGUCUCCAAGUCCUUGACAGAAUAUAUUAUGUACCCAUUCAGAUUCUUCACUUUGUGAACUCGGCUCAACUGCUCAAGAAAUUGAUUGUAUGCCGGAAUCAGCUUAACCAUUAUGCAUUCAAGAAGUUGUUGUAAAAUAUAUAGUAUUUCAAAAUAUUCUUUGUCCCAUAUCGAAAAAUGAGAAGUAUUGCUUUCUCUGUCCCACAUUGAGAAGUGAGAAGAGUUGCAGUCUUUGUCCCACAUCGAAAGUGAGAAGGGUUGCACCCCAUUCUGAAGUCUAUAAAUAGGACCCAUUCCUUUCACAGAAAAUCACCCCAGCAGCUUCAGUUAAUAUCUUUUGAUAGCUGCUCUAUCCCUCUCUCUCUCUCUUUUAUUUUUUGUUAGUUGAUUUCUUCCUGAUAAUUCUGUUCUCAUCUUUUAUAUAUAUAUAUAUAUAUAUAUAUAUAUAUCUGCUGGUUUUAAUUUGCUAGUUCUGGUCCUUCUAGUUUGCAACAAGAAGAAAGUUUGUCUUUCUUGUUCGCAAUAAAUAGAAGAAGGCUUGUUUAAUCCUGGGGAAACAUUUCAAUUUCAUGAAAUAGUUUCUUAGGACAGUGCUACGCACGACUCAAGCAGAUAGUGUUAACAUUGUUGUAGCCAUUUAUCCAACAAUCUAAGAAACUAUGGCAUCUGACAAUGUUAACACCUCGCAACCUGCAUCAGGAUCAGUUGCAGUCGCACUACGUUUUCUACUCGACAUUCAUGAAGUGGCCUAUGCACUGACAGAAUCUCAACCUGCUGCAACUGUAGAUGUCAAGAUACAAAAGUCGUGGCAAUAUGCCAAUAAGGUAUGUCGACACUCUAUUUUACAAACACCCUUAAAUGAAUUAUUUGAUGUGUAUUGUAGCUAUGUGCAAGCCAAUAAGUCCCAGUAUAAUAGACCAAAAAAAAAAAUCCCAAUUACAAGUCUAAUAUUCCCAACUUUAAGAAAAAGAAAGGCAAUUGCCAUUAUUGUAGAAAAUCAGAACAUUAGGCUGCCCUGUAUAGAUACAAUAAAGGUGACAAAGCAAAUGGUAAUCCUCCUAAGGUUAAUUUAACCGAAGGAGAUGAAAUAAUUGCUGCAGUCAUCUCUCAAGUGAACAUUGCAGCUAAUGUUAAAGAAUGGGUGAUAGACUCUGGGGCUACUCGGCACAUAUGUGCAAAUCGAGAAGCGUUUUCCUCCUAUACUUCAAUAGGGGAUGAUGAAAAAAUAGUCUACCUUGCAGACUCACGAACUGCUAAAGUUCUGGGUAAGGGCAAAGUACUAUUGAAACUCACUUCAGGAAAUACUUUGGCUCUUAAUGAUGUGCUGCAUGUUCCAAAUAUUCGGGCAAAUCUUGUUUCUGUGGCUUUGCUUGGAAAAGUUGGGGUGAAAGUGUCAUUCGAAUCUGAAAAGAUUGUAAUGACAAGAAAUAAUGUGUUUGUAAGGAAAGACUAUUGUAAUCAGGGACUUUUUGUACUUAAUAUUUCCAAUGUGAUCAAUGAAAAUGCAUCUUCUUCUGCUUAUAUUGUUGAUUCCAUUUCUUUAUGACAUGCUAGAUUGGGACAUGUUAAUAUUGGUUAUAUAAAGAAAAUGCAAUCAUGUGGUCUAAUUUCUGGUAUUAAUGAUAAUAUGGACAAAUGUGAAAUAUGUGCAGAAGCUAAAAUAACAAAGAAAAGUUGUAUAACUGUCCAUAGAGAAACUGAAUUAUUAAAUUUAAUUCAUACUGAUUUAGGUGAUUUAAAACAAACAAUGACUAGAGGUGGGAAAAGGUAUUAUGUCACAUUUAUAGAUGACUAUUCUAGAUAUACCAAAGUUUAUUUACUUAGAAAUAAAGAUGAUACUUAUAAUGCCUUUUUAUCCUAUAAGUCUGAAGUAGAAAAUCAACUUAAUAAAAGGAUAAAAAGAAUUAGAUCAGAUAGGGGUGAAGAAUAUUUAACUUUAGAUAACCUUUGUGAACAGGAAGGCAUAAUACAUGAAAUAACUCCACCUUAUUCACCAGAAUCUAAUGGAGUAGUUGAAAGGAAAAAUAGAACGUUAAAAGAAAUGAUGAACUCUAUGUUAAUUAGUUCUCAUGAUCCAGAUAAUUUAUGGGGAGAAGCUAUAUUAUCUGCAUGUCACUUACAAAAUAGAAUCCCACAUAAAAAGACUGGCAAAACACCUUAUGAGUUAUGGAAAAAUUAUAAACCAAAUUUGAAAUAUUUAAAAGUUUGGGGGUGUCUUGCUAAAGUCUUGUUGCCUGAACCUAAGAAAAGGAAAAUAGGUUCUAAAACUUCUGAUUGUAUGUUUAUUGGAUAUGCUGAACAUAGUGCUGCAUAUAGAUUUCUUGUGUUAAGAAGUGAUAUACUUGAUUGUAAUACAAUUAUUGAGACAAAGAAUGCUGAAUUUUUUGAACAUAUUUUUCCACUAUCUAGUAAAAUUUCUCAUGCACCUGUUGAAAUAAAUAAGGAAAUUAUUCCAAUUGAGGAAUUAAGAAGGAGCAAAAGGCCAAGAAAAGAAUUUUCAUUUGGAAAUGAUUUCCAAACCUUUCUUGUUGAUAAUGAUCCUUUAACAUACUGCGAUGCUAUUUCUUCUCCUGAGUGUAAAUUUUGGAAAGAAGCAAUUAAAUCUGAAAUUGAUUCUAUCUUGUCAAAUAAAACUUGGAUUUUGGUAGACUUACCUCCUGGUGCAAAACCUAUUGGUUGCAAAUGGAUUUUUAAAAGAAAAUAUAACUCUGAUGGCUCUAUAGAAAAGUACAAAGCUCAUUUAGUAGCAAAAGGAUUUUCUCAAAAACAAAAUAUUGAUUAUUUUGAUACAUUUGCACCAGUAACUAGAAUUGCGUCUAUUCGAGUUUUAUUUGCUUUAGCUUCUAUCAAAUGGAUGUCAAAACAGCAUUUUUAAAUGGUGAUUUAGAAGAAGAAAUUUAUAUGUUUCAACCUGAGGGAUGUAUUAUACCUGGACAAGAAAAUAAGGUUUGCAAACUAAUUAAAUCUCUUUAUGGUCUAAAACAAGCUCCUAAACAGUGGCAUGAGAAAUUUGAUCAAGUAUUGAUGAAAGAUGGAUUUUCGUCUAUAGAAGUGGAUAAAUGUGUAUAUGUCAAAAUUAUAAAUGAUCAAUAUGUGAUAAUCAGUUUAUAUGUGGAUGACAUGCUUAUAUUUGGUACUAGUCUAGAUAUUGUAAAUAGUACUAAAUAUUUUUUGUCUUCUAAUUUUGAUAUGAAAGAUUUGGGUGAAGCCAAAAUAAUAUUGGGUGUUAAAAUCAUAAGGAAAGGUGAUGGUAUAAUGUUGUCUCAAGAACAUUAUACAGAGAGACUUCUUAGGAAGUUUGAAAAUUAUGAUGUGACACCUGUGAGUACUCCUUAUGAUGCUAACACUCAAUUAAAGAAAAAUAAUAGUGACCCAAUUGCUCAGUCUAAAUAUGCUCAGAUUAUUGGGAGUCUGAUGCAUCUGAUGAAUUUCACUAGACCUGAUAUAGCUUAUGCUGUAUGUCGACUGAGUAGAUAUACUCAUAAUCACAACCGUGAGCAUUGGUUUGCAUUAGUCAGACUGAUGAAAUAUUUGAGAGGUACCAUGAAUUUUGGUAUCCUGUAUAGUGGAUUUCCCACUGUAUUAGAGGGUUACAGUGAUGCUAAUUGGAUCUCUGAUUCAAAUGAUACGAAAUCCACUAGUGGUUAUGUGUUCACCCUUGGUGGUGGUGCAAUAACAUGGAAAUCUGCUAGACAGACAAUCAUUGCUAGAUCAACAAUGGAGUCAGAGUUUGUAGCUCUGGAACUGACAGGGACUGAGGCCGAGUGGUUGAGAAAUUUCUUAGCUAAUAUUCCUUCAACUAAGGAUUUGUUGCCUCCUGUGUCCAUACAUUGUGACUGUCAAGCAGCGAUUGCCAUAGCUAAAAAUAAAUCGUAUAAUUGUAAAAGUCGACACAUGAGAUUGAGACAUGAUGUCGUAAAGCAGCUGCUUAGAGAUGGAAUUAUUUCCAUUGAUUAUGUAAAGUUAGAGUUGAAUUUGGCCGAUCCUCUGACUAAACCCGUAGGAAGAAAAUUGAUUCUUCAAACUACGAAAGAAAUGGGACUUCGACCAACAAGUUGUCAAUAGAGACGGUAACCCAACCUAUGUGAUUGGUGAUCCCAUGAAGUAGGUUCAUAUGGGUAAUAACAAGUCAAUAUUGAUAGUAAAACACUUCAAAUUUAAGUCCCUCUAGAGAUAAGUGCUUUGAGUAAUUGUGAGGAUUAGUUAAAACUCUUAAUGAAUUCAUAUCCCAUUAGGGAGGUGUAGUUAAAGCAAUAUACACUUGAUGAAUUCACCUAUAUGAGAGUGGAGUGGGGCCGCUCCUAUAAGAUUCAUUGGUCAAAUCUUUAGAGCUCUCAUGAAAUAACCAGGCAGGCGCACGGCCUAAAAGCGCAAAAUCGCGUUAACAGCAAAUUAUGGGUUGCAAUGUGAUUGAUAAAAUCUCUGUCAUACAUCAAGAGUUAUUGGUUCAUAGAAAUUUAUAUUUCACCAAUAACUUUGUAGAUCAUGUUUUAUCAAUCUAUGUUUGGUUCAUAGUCUAAAAGACACCAAACUAAUUACAUUUCAACCAAAUCCAGCAGAGUACUUUUAACAUUCUUCUUUUUAUCCAAAUAAUUUUUUGAAAUAGGAAGGAGAUUGUUGUAAAAUAUAUAGUAUUUCAAAAUAUUCUUUGUCCCACAUCGAAAAAUGAGAAGUAUUGCUUUCUCUGUCCCACAUUGAGAAGUGAAAAGAGUUGCAGUCUUUGUCCCACAUCGAAAGUGAGAAGGGUUGCACCCCAUUCUGAAGUCUAUAAAUAGGACCCAUUCCUUUCACAGAAAAUCACCCCAGCAGCUUCAGUUAAUAUCUUUUGAUAGCUGCUCUAUCCCUCUCUCUCUCUCUUUUAUUUUUUGUUAGUUGAUUUCUUCCUGAUAAUUCUGUUCUCAUCUUUUAUAUAUAUAUAUAUAUAUCUGCUGGUUUUAAUUUGCUAGUUCUGGUCCUUCUAGUUUGCAACAAGAAGAAAGUUUGUCUUUCUUGUUCGCAAUAAAUAGAAGAAGGCUUGUUUAAUCCUGGGGAAACAUUUCAAUUUUAUGAAAUAGUUUCUUAGGACAGUGCUACGCACGACUCAAGCAGAUAGUGUUAACAUUGUUGUAGCCAUUUAUCCAACAGAAGUUUCAUCCGCAGCUGCUGAUCUGGUACCAUCCAUCCUUCUUGAGUCUGAAGUAUAUCUUCAAACAUACGAUUGAAGGUCCUAAACUUCUUUUUCACAGCUCUCGUAGACCUUCCAGGAAAGAAAUCAAAAUUUGAAUGUGAUUUUAAUCCUUUACCUUUCAAAAAAUCGCAGACUUCGCCCCAACUUGUAUGGAGAUAAUCAGUCCUUGCCAGCUCCACUUUUUCUCUUAAUUUCAUCCGCAGGCGAGUGCCAAUAAGUUCUCCCAACUCCUCGGAACUUUUAAUCAUCUCAGAAACAGAGUUAACAUUGUUCAUCAUGAACAAACAACCCAGAGAUUCUUGUCCAUAGAAGUUGGACUUGAAUUUCAAGUUAUUCAGUAAAAACUCGAUGACUCGAGUUAGAUGGCUCUCUAUGGAAAUUGGCCUUUCAUCCAUUUCAUGUGAACCCAGUACUUCAGGAGGAUCUCGAUCAUUGGAGCUUUGGGGUCUAGCCACCAAGUCAUUUAAGGAUUUCCUGUGAACAUAAAUCAGGUCAAUGUGACGAAUUAUGUGUCUAGUUAAGGGGUGAAUUCCUCCCCCAGGAAAUGGCAUCGUCGAAAGCUCACGAAGAACAUUUUUCUCUGUAACAGAAAGGAUCUUUGUCAUUUGCUGUUUCAGUCGGAGCAAAAUCUCAGUGGCAAGGCCGCAGAUAGCUUUCGCCGGUUGUACAUCUUGGUCAAAAUAUACAAUCACUUGUGGAACUAGAUUGGUGAGUUCUAGACAAAAGGGCAUCAAAAUGUCUGGUCUCUGGGGCAAUCGGCGGCGGGCUAAUAGAGAGUCUGGAAACUCAAACAACUUGGCCGCAGCCCCUACUACUAUGGACACAAAACGGCCGUUAGCAGCAGUAUCCUCAGAUGUUCCCAAGUCUCCAAAUAUUUGCUCAUAAAAACACUUUUCUAAUUUAAAAAUGGUGGCUAUGCAAAACUUGGCUAUUUGUAUCCAUCCAUUGAUUUUGUCACUCAACUCAUCCAAGCAAUUAAAAUGACAGACGGUUUGUACAUUCAAUUUCUCACGGAGUCUCAUAAAUACCGUGUUGACCACGUCCUUUCGACGCUCGACAUACAUCUGAACACAAUCCGCCAAUUCGUUUCUGGAGGUCAAUAUUUCUGAAAUGCGCCCAAGAGUCUUUAUAUCUUCUUCACUGAAGGCCUUGUGAUGGCCCUUAUAGUCUUCGUAAUGCAAUGUCAUGCUGGAGCUGUCUGUUAUGGAAGCUGAUGGAGAAACUGAAUUGUUCGAACUCUUCAAGAAUUGAUCCGCACCAAUGGGGUACUUGGGGUUGAAUAAGAUGUCCUGGAACUGGAGCUUGAGUUGCGAAGAGGGGAUUUGGGAAGCCUGCCCAUCAAAGAUGACUUUGCUUUCACUGUAAAGUGAGAAUAGAUCUUUUGUCAAGUUCAUCAUACACUCCUAGUUUACUUGGGAAAAAGUUGCAGGAGGGGGUUGUGGAAAUGCCGGAUAGGAGAAGUUGUCAGGCAAUGCAAAACUGGGGUUUGAAAUUGUAACCAAAGGAUGGAAGAGUUGGGUAGAAAAGAUAGAACGACUUUUGAAAAUUGGAAUAAUUUCAGAGACCUCCCUUGAGGUUUUACCUAAUUUCACUUUAGUAUCCUUAAAGUUUCAGAAAUAUCAUUUACCUCCCUUGUUGGUAAAUGAGACUUCUAAUCAUCCUAACUGCAUAUAAAUUGACAAAAUUAUUCUUACUAGUUUAAUCAUUCUUUAGGCAAACAAAUACGAAAGAUAAAACCAAAAUUGCAAUGGCUAUUUUAACCAUUUUUCAUUUUUGCACUUAAAGAAUUUUAGUUAUUUAAUCUUUUUAUAUCAACCAAUUAUUAAAUUGUCUUUGAUAGUAUAAUAACUAUUUAAACAAAUAACAUAUGUAACAAAAAAAUUAAGUCUAUAAAGACAACAACUAAGCAAAUAAUUAUAUUUGAAUUUAAUCACCCUUAUUCUUCCAAAUUUCGAUACCCUCUAUAUGAAUUUUAUAUUAAAUCACCCUUACUAUGUUAGGGGAAAAAAAGUUGGAAGUGAAAAUGCUUAACAUCUCCCCUACUUUUGUCUUUUUAUGCCAAUUCUAUAUUUGCUCUCACUAUUUUUUUUUUAAAAAACUUUAUGCAAAAAGAGUUCGGAAAAAAAAUAAAAUCUAUAAGAUUUUGGUGAUUCUAAUUAUUAUUUUUCCCUAAACACACCCCUCUCCCUUGACUUUUGGUCUUUUUAUGUCAACCUUAUAUCAAAUUAUCCUAAUUAUUCUAACCAUCAUAUAUGCCAAAAAAGGAAGAUAAUAAAUCUAAAUUUAUAAAAAAAUGGGUAAUCUAAUAAUUGUUGUAUGCAAACAUCUCUUCUUGCCACAUUUUUAGUUUUUACAUGCUAGUUUUUAAUUAAGUUUCUUUGGUUAUUCUAACAAUUAUAUAAGGGAAAAAAAUAGAAAAAGCCAAAAAUAGAAAGAAAAUACUAUUCUAUCAUUUAUUGUAGCACUUAACACUCUAUUCUAAUCUUGUUUAGUUCUCCCAUGCAAAUAUAUGUUAGAAAUUAAUUUGGUUAAAAAUUCAAGAUAAGACAACAUAAAAGGAUAAAAUUGGAACAAAAAUAAAUCUCUCUCUGUAUCUCUCUUUUUAAAUAAUUAUUUUAAGAAUAUUUUCAUGGUGUAGGGAUGAGUUUGUUAUAAAGAUAUGAUUUUAGAAAAGGUUUAUAAUAUUUUUAAAACUUUCAAAAGUAUCAAGUAAUAUUAAAGAAAAUCUUAAAGGAGAUUUUGGAAAAUAUCCCUAUAUUUUGUACGUAUAGGCCCAAUAACAAGACAAAUGAUGGCAGUACUAGUCAUGCUGACUAAGAAAGCGUUUCUGAUUGAGGUUUGACUAUGGUGAAACAAACAAGUAAGCGUGACAAUAGUGGCCACCAUCAAACCUUUAAGUUUUGGUGGGAUAGGGGAUUAAUGUGAAUUUGUUUCAAAAAAUUCAGACUGAUGCACGGUAUACCAGUUUAGUUUGGUAAUGGUUUAAAUCUCCUUCCGUUAUUUCUGGACCUCCUUAGAUCCAUCCCCUCUUCCUAAUUUAGAAUAGAUUAGGAUACACUAGAACUGUGAUUUCGAAAAAAAAAUUGACAGUGGUGGCACCAGUCGCGGGGGAAGAAAUGAGAGGUGGGGUCUACUGCUACAUUCACACCUGGCAAGACAACAGUUCAUGGUCUGGAUUUGCCGCAAGCGAUUGGGUUGAUUUGGAGCAUUCAUUUGACAUUUUUAUGGCACACUUUAAAUUUUGUCCAAUUCUUUAUGAAAAAAUGGAGGGAGUCAAUUGUACAGUACAAUUUCGGGUGCAGUUGCACUAGAUUUUCUCCCAUAGAGGUUUGGAAAGGCCACCUCUGCUCCAUCCGUGUGCAUUCCCCUUACAAUACCUUCGUUGGGUAGAUGAGUUGCUGGGAAGUGAAAUGAUGAUGAUAUCAUCAAGUAGCCGCUUUUAGGUUGCUCUCGUACGAAUUUGUUAGAACUUACAACAGCAGUUUUCUGCAUGAACAUAUAUAUAUAUAUAUAUUAAUAUAAUUCAGAAGAAGUUCCAAGUGAAUCAGGAGAUGGUCCGUCCGUAACAGGAUUGGUAAGUAGUAUGAGAAAAACACAAGAAGGUGGCUUAUUGUCAACUACUUUUUCAUCUAAGCUUCAGUCUCCGUCUGCUGAAGGUCCAGACCAAUAAUGUCAGCAACACUUCAUCAUGCAUGUACAGUCAACAUCAUGAGUGUCGCAACAGAAGGGCCGAGCAGAAUUAGCUUGUAAUCAUAUAUAUAUAUAUAUAUAUAUACUAGUUUUUUAGCCCUGACGCUAUGCGUCAGGUAGCUGAGACUCGUUAUUUUGGUGUUAUGUUUGUGUGUUUUUUUUUUGUUAGAUAUAAUAGUCAUGUGUAUGAGUGUAUUUUUUUCCUAAUUACACAAAUAAAUAUGACUUUGAAAUCAGGUUAUCUUACAUUCUUAAUAUAGUAUUAAUCAGUAAGUAAUGCUUAAUAUUAGGUAGAACUAAAAGGCAUAUGAUUAUACAUGUAAUGUGUAGCCUUGCUUAUUAGUCACGUUACUUCUCUAAGACAAGCAAUUUGACAAUUUCCAUUUUUUUGACACUUUCUAUUUGCUAGUACUUCACAUUUAACAAUCUUUUAGAAGAAAGAAAUAAAGAAAGACAAUUAUAAAAUGGGUUUGUCAUUUUCUUUUGUUUGCUAGACUUGAAUGAGCAUUCAAACAUAUUUAAAAAUAUUUUCAAACCAAUGUAAAAUUGAAUUAAUAAUUUUUGUAUAUUCAGUAGCUUUUUUUUUUUUUUUUGGAGAUUUUGAUGAUUUUGGUUUUGAUAAUUUGUAUUUAUUGAAUCAUUUUUUUCAUUCUCAAAAGAAAAAAAAUUGGACAUACUGUAACAGUUUAAAAAUUAUAAUCUAUUUCUUAAAUUGCAUUUUUUUUUAAAGAAAGUUUAUCCUUUUACCAAAAACAGAAUGAACAGAACCAAGAACAAAAUGAGAGGAAAUUACUGACCGCCAAAAUGUUCCCAUCCAAGAGGCCUACGCGGACAGAAGAGCAGGAGUGAAAGUGGUAAUUAGAAGAGAGCAAGGAAGAGAGAGAGAAGGCAAAGCAAAGAACGUCCACCGAUUCCAAUGAGGCUAACUGCACCCACGUUUCCCCAAGCCACCGAAAAAUCAUCCAACCAACAAACACCCCCAGAGUUCAUGAAAAUUACGGAGUAACCGGACCAUUUGCCCACGCGGACAGGAGUGAAUUUCCAACAAAACCACGCCACCCAUCAGCAAAAGACCAAAACGCCCCUCAAGCUCACACAAAUCACGGCAUAACCGGUCCAUCGGUACUGUUCACAAGCUAUUCGUGCUUUAUAUAUGUACUAGUUUUUUCUGCCCUGACGCUAUGCGUCAGAUAGCCUGGACUGUUUUUUUUUUUUUUCUGCUGUGGUAUAUUUUUUAUUACUUUUGUGUGUGUAUGUGUGUUUUUUUUUUUUGACAUACUUUCAAGAAAAGCGCUGAAGUGCAAGCCCUAGCUCUAUUCAAACACAAGGAAACUGUAAAAAAAAAUUGUGAAAAUCCUGCCCAAAAACAACACAAUCGCAAAUUUAAAUUUAAUCACAACCCUACUUAAAGCCAUCUGCAGCAACAACUUCAAAGGAACAAAAUAUAAAUUCUAAUUUAUUUAGACAUUUUUUUCGACAGAAGAGGUAUCCGAUUGAACAGCAAAUGCAUUCUGCAGGCCUUCGCGGAGCUUCUUCCGCAAGCUUUCUUCUUUACGGUUCUUUCGAAUCUCGACCAUGUUGUUUAUUCCCCUCCAGCAGCACUCUUCAGCGUCCAACGCCACUUCAGAAAGAUUAGUUCUCAAAUUACAUCCCGAGUAGUUUUUCUGGGUUAGGAAAAUUAAAUUUGAAAGUUACGGAAGAUUCGUGGGAACUCUGCAAAAUGCAUUAAAAAAAGUGAGAAUUAGAGUAGAGAAGUUUAUUUUUAUCUUUUACCCUCUGAUUUUUGGGAUUGGCUCAAUAUGCCUAUUUAUCUUUGAACUCCAAUCGGAGCCUUGUGGUUUCCAAUGUCCUAUGCAACUAUAAAUCUCCCUCUAAUGCCAAUGGAAGGAGCUCUCCUCCUUCGUCGCCCACUUCUCCACUUCCUGUAAUGACAUAUUUAGUCAACCCCAACUCAAGAAAAAAUCCAACCAUUCACAUGAAAAUUGAAAUCCCAUGCAAUGAUAAAACCUAGAACACUUAAAAGUAAAAAAAUAAGAAGAAAGAGAGGCAAAACAAUUCAAAAAUGGAAUUACGGAGAUGGGAUUAAUUGGAAAAGGUGAUUACAUUUUUGUUGUGCGUGUAGGAAAAAUUGAGAGGGAAUCUACUGUAGAUUUCUAGAUAAGAUCAUGGAGAAAGAUGUGGUGUAGGGAAAAAUUAAAUAGGAAGAUGAUGAGUGAAAAAAACUGGCAGAGAAGGCCAAGAGAAGAACGAGAAAGGGCAAUGGAGAUUGCAGAGCUUUCAAGCGGUGGUGGUUCCAUUGUACCUCAAAUCACUGCUAAACUUGUUGCCGUCCGAGAACAGCACGUGGGGAAUGUUGAAGAAAGCCAAAAUUGCUUGGACACCUGGUAAAGAAAGCCAAGAAAAGAAGAGAGGAAACAAGGCCGAAAUUGCCCACCCGCCAAAAUUGCUCCUAUCCAAUAAUAGCAUGCGGACAGCAGUGAAUUUCCACCAAAACCACUACCAUCCAAUGCCAGAAGACCAAAACACCACUCAAGACUCUAUUCCGACCCAUUGUCAAAACAUUAAUCUACAGCAAACCAUCAAAAUGCGCAAAUAAAGCAAAGAGUGGAGACUUUAGAAGAUCAGCUUGCUCAGAAAAUCAGCUAAGUGAGACAAUGAAGAUUUCACCUUGCAAAACCAAAGAUCACUGGGGACACCAUCCACUGCCUACUCACCAGUGGAGGCAAAGCAACUGCAAUUACACAAGAGAUUAGGAAACCAAACAUACGUGUGAGGCGUAAUAUACAUAAAGCAACAAGUGAAGACUAUUGAAAACUUUGCAAAACCAGAGAUCACUGGAGACACCGUCCACUGCCUACUCACCAUCGGAGGCAAAGCAACUGCAAUUACACAAAAGCUUAGGAAACCAAACAUGCGUGUGAGGUGAAAUAUACAUAAAGCAAAGAAUGAAGACUCUAGAAAGCUUUUGCCGCCCAACCGCCCACUAACUUAAUAGUAAUUGCUGACUACCAAAGUGAAGAGCCACGCGGACAGAGCAUUGCUGACUACCAAAAUGAAGAGCCACGCGGACAGAGCAAGGUUACAAUGCAAGAGAGCCAGCGGACAAAAGCAAAAUACCAGCAGAGCCACUGACACCCAUCAGCAAAAGACCAAAACGCCCCUCAAGCUCACACAAAUAACGGCAUAACCGGCCCAUUUUUUACUGUUCACAAGCGGAUUCUCGCUUUAUAUAUGUAAGACUAGAUGUUUUGCCCUGACGCUAUGCGUCAGGUAGGUAGGAAAGAAUUGUUUAGUUGGUAAGAAUAGCAAGUUGAGAAAGGUGAGGCUGUGGCGGUGGUUUGUACUGGCGUUAGCCAGGUGUUGUUUAUGUGAUUUUGUAGUAUCUGAUUUGUAGUUUGCAUGAGUAGGAUUGCUACUUGUGUUUCAUGCGUUGAUUGUGUCAGGAAAAAAUUGCCAAGUUGUGCUGAUUUUCUUUGUACGUGGCCAGUUUCUUGCUACUAUAUAUAAGGACCUUCGUGUUUUGGGAAUGGUUAUGUGUGAUAUAUUUUUGGUUUGCUAGGUAGUAGUUUGUAUUUGCAAAGUGUGUGUUUUUUUCAGUUGGAUGGAGUCGCAGUGUGUUAGUGUUUGCGGAUUGAAUGAUAGAAUUCGAGGAUGGAUUGCUAAGUUAGUUGUCGUGGAAAAAACUUUAUUUCGGCGACCGCGGAAUUCGACUCGAAUGUUUUUUCGAGUUGUUUUUGCUGAUGCUUCUGUAAGGGCUUCUUAGACUUGUUUUUGUAAGUUUUAUUGUGUUUUUGUUUUGUUGAUAUGGAUAAUAGGUAUCUCUCUUUUUUUCAGGGUGAUACAAUUCAAGGAAUAACAUAUUUAUCUGAUCUGGAUGCUAUGGAUUGUGCAUUGGAGUUGCAUGGGACAUAUUAUAUUGCAAAUGCCACUAUACAGUGUCUACGUAGUUCACGGAUGCAGAUUGGGAUGGUUCCAUAUGAGAUUAUUAUAUCACAUAAUACUGUGAUUAAUCGUGUUUUACCUGAGCAUGCAUUAUCGGUGGAAAAUUUCUAUGAACUGACUCGUUUUUGCGAUUUGGAUUCUUUGAGGGUUAAUCCAAAUGCAAGGAUAAGUAUAACUUUUUUUUUGUUUUUUUGGUUGUGGUGUAUUAGUAAGUUUAGGUAUUAUUGGUGUGAUUGCAGGCUAAUUUGUUAUUUUUAUAUGAUAGCUUUGCUUGGUGUAGCUGUUUAUGCUGGUCCGGCAAUAUUUUACGCCAUCGGAAAUAGACAAGUUCAUCUGCAAGAGUUUAUUAUCUUGAAUGAAGAGUAUGUUAUCAGUUUCUGUAUGGUUAGUUAAUAUAGUUAUAAUUAUAUUUUUUAAUUGUGUUUGUUUAAUUUUAGUGUGUAUAUAAUUUUUGCAGGAGGAUACCAAUAGUGUUUUCAGUAUGGGAUGAUUAUUUUGAGGAUGAUGGCAUGCAUUUAGUUGAACUUAUCAACGAGCGACCAGUUGUUAUGAUUUGUCGUCCACGUAUUAGUCAUCUUCAUGGUAUAUGGGUUUGAUUUUAGUUUUCUAUUAUUUAUUUAUGGUUGUGUCUAGGAUUUUGUUUAUGUAGAUAUUUUUUGUAUUUUUUUUUAUUCGCAGGUCUUUCUAUUGCAACUCAAGCGACUACCAUUAUUAUGUAUAAUCCUAAUUUGCUCGUGGCUCAGCAGCUAAGGCAUUGGUAUGAUACAUUUGUUGGUGAUACUGGCUUUUGAGCAAUGAAAGUGAAGGAUUUUUGGCAUCGCUUGUGGUGAUAUUUCUGUUGGUGUUAUAAUAGCUAGUAUCUAAGAGUGAUUUGUGCAUAGUUGUAGUUUUGGUGUGGUAUGUUACGGUUGUUAUUUCAUUGAUGUUAUAAUAGUUGGUAUGUAAUAGUGGUUUGUGAAUAUUGGACGUUUGAUUUUCCUCUUUUUUUUUUUUCCUUUGGCUGGUUUGGAGUGGUAUCAUUGAAUCUAAGUUUGUUUUUUUAAGAAGUAUUUUUUGGUGAAUUAUUUGAUUGUUUUUAGAAGGAUUUUUUAGAUAUCUUCUUGUUAUAUUUUGCUUAAUAUUUAUGUAGCUGUAAUUGAAUUAUGCUGAUGCGGUAUAAUUGUGUAUAAGAAGAAGAAAUCAAACUUUAAGCAAUGUAUAUGUAAGAUAUGUGCGAAUUUGAGUAGGAACAGGAUAAGUAGUUAUAUCUUACAUAUAUUUCAUUUACAAGAGCAACAAGAGCAAGAUAUAUUCAAAAGUGGCCUUGCUAAACUAACUGGCGUUUAUGUACAUUCCGCGCCUUAGGUAUAAAAGUGUCUAAGCAGGGUCUGCAUUAGCCAUUUGCAAUAUUGCUGAGGUUGAUUAUAGAUAUAAUAUUGAUGGUAGGGCUGAGCAAAAGUGAUAGAAGGUGUGCUGAGUGAGAGAUUUAGAAGGUGCUGAGGUGUUUAUGGCUUUGGGCGUUUGUUGUGGGCUUCUUGAACUGGCUGAAGGGGGUGUUUUGAUGUUGUUUGUUGCUUGAUUGACGUAAUUUGGUCAUUGAUGGUGGUAUCGAUUGAUGGUUCAUGUGUAGGUUCUUGGGAUGUGCUUGGUUCGGUAGAGUCAAUCACAGUUGUGAUCUGAAGGUUACUGUUGUCGGCGGCUAGAUGGGGAAUAGUGUUUGGGGUCGGAGGGAUUGUAAGAUAAGCAACAACAAUGUAUCGUGCAGGCUGAAGUGUUUCUGAUGGUCGAAUGAUAUUUCGUAGUUGGAUGUAGAAUUGGGUAUCUUGGAGGUUGUUAUUGAUUAGCUGGAUGUUGAUUUGUUCAUGUAUCUUUUGCAUGUUUAUGAUUUGCUCGGCUGACAUUUGAAGAAUAGACUCUGCAUAUUUGUCUUCAAUUAAUGCUGGUAGAAUACUUGUACCAUCAAAGAGUUGAACUUCAAAACGGAGCCUGCCAUUACAUCAAAUUGUUAAGCAUAAUAUUAGAAUAGGUACAAAAUUAAGUAGUAAUUGAUAAAGCAUAGAAAUUAAAUGCGAACCUUGGUAAUGGUUUUUGGUAAGUGAGAUGGCAGUAAAAGCAUUUGAAUUCUGUAUCAGUAUCAGCUCCUGUUGGUUUUGAACAAUCAGGUUUUGGACAACUUAGGUAGUAAAAACGUGUGUUUGUCACUGAGAUACGAAUCUGAGCCUUUAUCCAAAAGGGCCUGGUCUGUGAUUUCAUACGAUAUAUGUUAGGUAUUGGUAAUUUUAUCUGCAACUGAUUAAUAGCAGUAUGAUUAAGACUUACAUGUUCAGCUGUCAUAGGAAUUGUCGCUAUUUCUUGUAGUUGUGCAGUGGUUGGUGGAUGGAUAAUUUGAUUUGCUUUUUCAUAUAGUCUUUCUUUGAUUAUUGUUUGUAUGUAACAGCUAUUUUCCUUUAUCCUGCAUAAAAGUUGGGUUUAUGAAUCUGGUUGAUAUGAGGAUUAUAUAGUUUAAAUUAAUAGGAUUACCAGUUUCUCAAAGCUGUGGCUUGGGGGAUUUCUGGAUUGAAUAAUAUGAUAGUGGUUGCUUGUGUUCCCAGAGAAAUUGCUGCAAUUGAAUGUAAAUAAGAAUAUAGAUUGUGAAGGUGUGUGAUAAUUUUAUAUAGUUGUAAAUUUGUAUCAGAAAAUAAUAUGCUUACUGUGAUACGAGUUGACUUUUGGUCUAGCCAGUAAGAUGAUAGGUUGCUGAGGUGCCAUUGCUUUUAAUUGCGAUCCUUCGACAGAUAAGAAUUCUUCCCAUAUCGUAAAAGUCAUUGGUCGUUUUCUGCAUGUAUAGAAGUGUAAAUAUUAUGAAUUAGUAACAUAUGGUAGAGAAUAACUUUUAGUUAGAAUUGGCAAGUACUCUUCAUUAACGACAGCAAAUUCUUGGAUCGGCACAUAUCGUUUUCCUCUUGGCACUAAGCGAGGAGGUAGCGCAUGCAGGACAGCACAGAGGAUAUCUGUACAUCAGAGAUCAAUUGUAUUUAGACUACAUGUUUUGUAAAAGGCAGUGUAAGGCAGUGGAUGAAAAUCAUACUUAUUCUUGUUGAGUAAUCGCCAAUGUAAUUAUGUAGCUGUGUAAAGGGUGUUAAUUCAUAGCAAUCAUCAGAGGGCAAUGCAUCAUGUGAUGAAACAGCCUGAAUAAAUGUUCUUUUCGAGAUUGUUAACUGAUAUGGUGAAGAUGCAAGAUAAAAAGGGAUGCUUAUUUUUGUAACCCAAGCAUUUCCAAUGUAGUAGGUGGAAUAAAGCUGAAGAAUUGGCUCGAUAUCUUGAAUGUCUCUUUCGAAAAUAGUUCCUUGGAUGGUGUUUUUCUGCAUUUAAAAAUUGAAGAGAUGUAAUGAGUGAUUUUGUGUAUAAGUGUGUGUGAUAAUAGGUAGAUGAAUAAAAAUUUAUUUGGUUUGAUAUAUCUCACCAUAGCAUCAGCGAACACUAAUUUUUGAUAUGGCCUUCCAUCUUCUUUGCUAUAACGAAUUGCACUUUUUUCUAUCACAAUAAGUUUAGCAAACCAAUUUGAGUUCGUGUCUGUUAACUUUGGUAUCAGAACGCAUUUUCCCUCCAUGUUGAUACUGAAAAAAGAGGGAGCAAAGUAAAAUUAAUUAAUAAGUAAAGUAAAAGUUUCUAUGUAUUAUAUAUGUGAAGGAUUUAGUUUCAGGAGAGCUUGUUUGAAUGCAUUGCAAAAGAAAGCUAGGAAUGAAAUUACCUGGAUAGAUUGGAGAGCAAAGAUUCAGAAGCACAAGAAGAGGUUUGCGAAUCUGUGCAAGCUAAUGAGAUGUGUCUGUUGAGAUGGAAUUGAUUUAUAUAUAAUGAGUAAGGAUAGUGGAAUGAGUGAUAUGUGAUAAUGAGCAUUUGGUCUGGCGCAUUGUUAAUGGGAGACAGUAUCUAAUUGCAUGUGGUUAGAAGCUGCCAGAGAAAGCAUGUAAUGAUUAAAAUGGUGCAUGGCAGAUAGAGAUUACGUGUUACACCUACCAAUGAGUUUUACAUGUGUCAUGCAAUGAAAUUAGAAACGAUUGCUGCAUAUUGUGAAGGACAUCUGGAUAUGGCUUUCAUGAUACAGGUAGCAAUAUAGAAGGUACAGGUGUUUAAGUCGGGUGUUGUUGAAGGCUCUAAGCUGGUAAACUCAUUGGAGGUUAGCAAAAUAAAAUUCCUUUGGAUCUGUUAUAAUCUCUUUAUUUCUUAGAUGUAUUUCAAAGCUAGCAAUAAUUUCUGGUCUCUAAAUAAUCAUGACAGCUUGCAUUUGAAUGAGCACUUCUAACCUGUGGGAAUGUCAUACAUUUUAAGGCAUUGGCUGGUGGGACUUUGUGGCUGGAUUUAGUCGCAAGCAAGAUUGCAGCAGAGUAGUGGAUUACUGUUGGAUCUGCUAUAGGAAACAUUACUUGCAGGUCUUUCUUUUAUUCUCCAUUUUGUUUUGAGCAAGUCGUUGGAUGAUAGAUUCCUUUUCUCUCCUUUUUCAUUUUGUUUAGACUUGUAUCCUCAAUGUUGUUUGUUCUUGCAGCAAUUCGGUGAAUAUCUACAUGGGAAUUGGUAUUCCGUGGCUCAUUGAUACAAUAUAUGACUUCAUCGCAUACAAUGAAUUGUUGCGCAUACACAAUGCUGAAGGUACCUGGGGAGAGGAAAUGAAGAGAGAGGCAGCAGCUAGGAGCUGGGAGAUAGUAUCUGGGAGUGGGAGGUCUAAUUCUGAGGGGGGGUUUUGACUUUAUAUUUUUUAUUCUAAUCAAAAUUGGCGAACAGAAUUUAUAAGAAAAUAGAGAAGGUGCUUUUUUAUUUUCCUUUCGACUCUAUUUUUUUCCUCCCCUAAGUAGUUUAUCCAUAUUCAUUUCCUAGUAUAGGGUAUAUAGGGUAGUGAAUGAGAGUUUCUUACCAUGUUCUUAAUUUCCUUAGACUCGUAUCUUCUGUGGUGCGUUGCUAGAGGUGUAAAGGGUGUCAGCUGGCUAUUUAUGCGAGAGAAUCAUUUGUUUUCAAUUUGGACAUCGUUUGGUUACUGCAACUGUUGCUUUAUGUAAUAGCAGCUUUCUUUAACCUUUUUUUUUUUUGAAUUUGUUGUGAUUUGUAAAAGAAUGUCAAGCACCACCUUUGCCAUUGUAGAUCCAGGACUUGCCAUUGAAUCCAAGAUUUUCGUUCCAAUGCUCUAAUUGGUCUUUUGACUUAAAUGAGACUCAGAAAAAACAUGUUAAUUGCAUAUUCCAGUUGAAUCUGGAAUUUUGACAAAGAUGUGUAACUUAUAUUUAAUCAUAAACUUUUUGUUGUAAUCAUGAUUUCUUAAGAAGGAUUUCAUGAUUUUUCGUCAAUAAAAAAAAGCGAUAAGGUGUCACUUGAUUAUAAUAAUGACUGAUGCAGUAGUUCAAAACCUUUUAUGCAGGAAAGUCUUUAGAACCAGAAAGCUCUAAGCAAGGCAAGUAGUUAAGGAGAAAUGAAAGAUGUACGGCUAAUAUUUUCCUAAUAAAGAUGAAAACAUUAUACAGGGAGAACUGGACCGCAAAUACUUGAUUCAUAAGCUGGAGAAUAAACUUACGAAUUUCUAAAAUGAAAACCCUUAUACUUAGUGAAAAUGGCACUUGACAACAAAAGGAUAAAGUGCGACACCAAAACCAAAUGCUCUGUAGAAACAGAAUCAGCCACAAAAAUCAUAUAGCUAUAAACAUAACCUUCCUAUGGCAGUAUAUGUCUAAUGAAUCUUCAAUAUGGUUCAGCUUCAAACAGCAGCAUUUGUACAAGCUGUCGCUGCAGCAGCUAAUGCUGCCCUGCUUCGACUAUUCCAGAUAUGUCGUGGUACGGUAUUAUUUGGACUUCAUAACUUGAUGAAAGCAAAACAAGAUCAGCAGGAAAGAAUUCAUCCUUCUUCACUUUCAUUACAUCUCCAAUUUUCAAAUCGAUGCACUUGAUGUAUUGGAAACUUCUAUGAUUGCUGUAUACUUUAACUAACCUGUUGUUUAUUUCAAUAUCCUGGUAUUAUUCCCAAAUCUUUAUUAUAUACUGGGUGAAAAAGAAAACACGAAAUACAGAUUAAACAAAUCAAAACCAAUUGCAGAUCAGCAAUCUUUAAGCAAUUUAACAACAGAAGAAGGCAGCAAUGGAAAGUUCAAGACUUGCAAAAGGACGAGACAAAUGUGGACAUAAAAACUUUGGAAGUGAUAAAAUUGGGCAAAGAACAUGAGAAAGAAGUGUAUAGGAUGACGAAGUAGGAGCUUUUCUUCCUCCUGAAAGGAAAAUGAGAAUAAGGGAAAGAGGAAAACGAAAAGGGAAGCCAAAGUUUUCUGUGCAUCAUCGUUUUAGAAUUAUUCUAAAAUGUUGUAUCUGGAGAAGCAUUAGCAGAACAGUGCAGUAAUUGAUUACCUACAACAUGUACCUUCUGUUUUUUGAAACAUCAAUGCCACAUUUCGGAACAAAAAUCUUGACUGAUUUGUCAGAGUAACACCUAUGAACUCAGGUAGACCAGCUACAAGAUCAAUGAUGCAUGAUAGUUAGGCUUAUUAAAUUCCCCUUGCAUUAAAAUUCUAGAAAUUAAUUGCAAAAUAUGGUCCAAAACCAUAUAAAAACUACUGGAAAAUUUACUGCAAUUUGACAGAAAAUACUGGGAUUAUUGAUAAGCUACAAUACUUCAAUGUACUCAGAAGGGGCAUUUGAGCUGAGCUCCUGGACACAAAUCCGAUGGUUAUUGAUAAUCUAAGAUCAGAAAUGUCACUUACUUCUGAAUCUCCUCCAUCUUUAUCUUCAGCUUUUCACGCUCAGCUUCAGUAUUAAUGCUCCCUCGAAGUUCCAGGUAGACAGAUACCACU